Molecule: long non-coding RNA, 49091 nt
Filed under: Triticum aestivum (bread wheat)
Lineage: Eukaryota; Viridiplantae; Streptophyta; Magnoliopsida; Poales; Poaceae
Description: long non-coding RNA (TAES_LNC024859)
Source: RNAcentral
UCAGAGAAGAGAAAGAGAGCAGAAACUGGUCCAAAGCAGAACAAACACGCAAGAAAAACGACCGCAGGGACAGUAAAUCUACGCGUACAGCGCGAGAGUGCGCCACAGUCCACCGCGAUCACUUGUAUCAAUGGCAGUGAUAUGAUAAUACUAUGAAACGCAAAAUCCACUUACAAACUUUACAACCGGUUCAAUCAAAGCCAUAAUAAUUAACAUAACAAUGCCCACAUCACACAUCAAACUUAAGCUCCACAGAUACAGAUAGCAGCAGCAGCAGCAACACACCACCAGUGAUCAGGUGAUCAAUGAUCAUGCACUCAGGCGGAGGAGCCCUUGAGCUUCUUGGCGAUGCCGGCGAAGUACUUGCCCUGGUGGAAGGCGUGCUCCAGCUCCAUCUCCGACGGCCACCGCGACCCGUCCCCCGCGAACGUGCCAGCGCCGUACGGGCUGCCGCCCUGCACCUUGUCCAUGUCGAACAUCUUGGCGCCGAACGUGUACCCCACCGGCACGAACACCAUGCCGUGGUGGGUCAGCUGGGUCACCGCCGUCAGCGGCGUCGUCUCCUGCCCGCCGCCCUGCGUGCCCGUGCUGAAGAACACGCCCGCCGGCUUGCCCGCCAGGCUCUGCUCCCUCCACAGCCCGCCCGUCGAGUCGAAGAAUGCCUUCAUCUGCGCCGCCAUCAUGCCGAACCUCGUCGGGAACCCGAACAGGACGCCGUCCGCCUCCGCCAGCUCCUGCGGGGAGAUCACCGGCACGUCGGUCUUGGGCGGGGCGCCCAUCUUGCCAAGGACUUCCUCGUUCAGGAUCUCAGGGACCUUUAAUACGAUGGUGAGCAAAGAUGCAUGUGUGAAUUCAUUUCAUGAAAUCUUUCUCUACACACACUAGAUAGUUCUCGAGCCUGACGAGCAGAGCAUCACAGUGGGAGCUUGCACACUGUUGUCAACUGAUAAACAGGGUUGCUGAGACUGACCUGCCACACUUUAACCUCCACGCCUUCGACAGAUGAAGCACCUUUCUUGAUCUCAUCAGCUAGCUUAGCAACAUGACCAUACAUGGAGUAGUACCUGUCAAAAAUUGGUGAUGAUUUUACAUCUUACUUUUUAUUGACGUGCAAGAAGCAAGACACAAUGAUAUAUCUUGUCCCAUAAACAUCAACCGCUACUGCUUUUUGUUUACGCGUGUUUCAGAUAACUUAAGGAAACACGCUAGGCUGACAAAAGGAAUAAAGGAGAUCAUGAACCAACUAGUGUGUUACGCACGGCACUAAUGUUCAUCAAUUAACGAACUAUGUAAGACACCUGUGUCGAGAACUUCGCACCAGUAUAUUAUAUAACUACUUCACCUAAACUUAUGGCUGUAAGUUCUAUAUCUGGUGAUUGGUGAAAAGAGUUUGCCCCCACAGCCACUAAGAAAACAAAGUAAUCAUGUACAGGCAAAACAAUAAGUUUGAAAAUGAUGUCAAAAUGUCACGAAGGGUUUGGGGCAAACUGUCAAUCAAAGGUCUAAUUAGAAUAACCCAGGUGUUUCCCAUCUUUUAUCUAAAGGCUUCUAGAGGCUUACUUUUUGGUAGUUGGGCAAUCCCAUUCAGCAAGCAAAAUUUUAAAGCAUGGCCCAAUUAUAGACAGUGAUAGGGUGAUACAGGUUAGUUAUGUGCUUAUGGUUUCUGAUAGAUGUGACUUGAAAGAAAGACGAGUAAUGCGAAUUGAUAGAGAAACGCUGCUUGCCAAUAGCAGGAUGCAUCCAUUGCAUCGAGUACUGAACACUCAAAGAUGCUUGAAGACACUACUAGGUUGAAUCUGACCAGGAGUGACAUUCUUCAAAUGCUGAUGUGAGUUCUCACACUUUACGGAUUACUUGUAUUGCAUUCCAAUAUUCAGAAGGCCAGUGGACUUGCUCAUACUUUUUCGAUAAUAAUUAUGCACUGGUUACUUUUGUGCUUCAGAUAAGCUUUUAUUGAGACAGGCAUAAUUGUGGAAAAGCUAAAAGUCCAUGUUGGUGGUGUUGACACUAGGAAACAAUAAGAUUGAACACUGCUACAAGCAAAGAUCCAUCACAGGAGACAGUGGGGUUGUAGUGGAAAAUCCACAUCAAAAGAAAAUGGCCUUUUAAUUGCUGUGCUGCAACUGACAAAUUUGCAUAUGUAAGCUGAAAGAAGGCCACCAAAAUUUUAAUCAGCAGACUAUUUUUAAUAAACAGAUUCUUUUAAUAAGAAAACACACCAUUUAAAAAAGAAGGAAGAAACUCAGAGAUUUAUUUUAAAACGAGAGAAGGCAUAAACGACAAGUUGAUUAAACAUUUAGGCCAGUUCUCACCUAAUACACAAGUUCCACAUAGCACAAAACAAAUUAGAUUUGCAUCACACUGAUGUAUAUAUGAUUUCCGUCCUAUUUAAAGCACAAUAGAUUCCAUUCCAUCUUUUUUUAAAGGAGCUGUGGUCUGUCAUAUAAUAUGAUAUACAUCGCACUGGAAACCUGAGCAUCAUAUGCAGCCAUGACCCAUGAGUAGCUAUCCCUAUUAGUUGGUGGGAACAGGGUAAAUCGUAAAGACAUACUACUAGCAUAUUCUGCUAUGAAAUUCAUAUAGGAAACAUAGCCCAAAGCAACAACCAAACUAGGGACAGUCAACAACCUAGGUGAUGUUCUUCAGAAAGAUGGCAAUCAAGGCGUUGUUGACUGCACCCACUGCCACUGGUAACGGAAAUUGCUUCGAGAAGUCACCGAUGUCUGCCGGUGCGGCGGAUACUUCAGAGGUGCGCGUUUCACACGACAGGGAGGAAAAAAUUCAGAUAAAGGGGGACAGCGCAGGAUUACUAGUGCAGGAUCAGGUCCCAGUCCAUAUCCGGCAUCGAUCCCAUCACGGACCACCACCAGACCCACCACCGAUUAAAUCCACGAUUGAUGAUGCCCCCAUACAUACAGCUAAUAAUCGAGCACAGGUUAUCUGCGACUCUGAAGCCUGAACCCUCACCCCACCACUCGUUUCAGUUCACUGAACCUGGACUGAACCCUGACGCGAAUGAUCAAAACUACUACAAGAACCGCUCUAGAUGGAGGCGUCGACGGGCGGAGGGCCUCCCGAAGAAGAAUUGUGCACUGAUGGUCCGUGAUUGCCGAAUUUAAAAAAAAAAUCUAGGCAGAAUCAUCGACUGUCUGAAUUAACAACGUCUAGAAAUUCAGUUCCAUAGCACGCACGAGUGUGAAUGAAUUGUAAUGGGGGGCAACGAAAUUAAAGAGAUAGUGCUACUGGCAGGGAGGGAGCGGGUGCUUACACGACGUAGACCUUGACCGCCAUGGGAGGCGCGGCGGAGCUCCGCGGAUCUGAGAUCUGGUGGGGGGAGGAGGAGGAGGAGGACGGCUCCGGUUGUUUAAUGGGUUGGAGAUGGAAUGGAGGGGAGGGGAGGCAGUGGGCAGUGGGAGAGGAGGGGAAGGGAGGCCGGGAGCAUUUAUAGGCCGGCCGGGACGGGGUUGCCGUGCCGGUUGACCUCCGAGGUGUGGUGUGGUGAGGUCCCAACCAACUACAGCUCCUGCCAAGCGGAUCCGGGCACUGCCACUGCCACUUGUGCGUGUGAGUGACCGCUGCAGCGUCACGUGCUGCUCAUCCCUGGCCUCUGAAUUGUUUUUCCUUUUUAUUUUGGACAGCAGGCCUCAAACUUUUUUUCAUGUUAUUUUUCUGGGAAACCUUAUUAUAUUUGCAGCGAGUAGAAAUAUUUCUAGUACUCUCUUCACCAUCGUAUUGUGAUCGUCUUUUUUAAUUUGGACCGUCUCUGAGAACUUUGCCUCCUCAUCCCUCUGAGUGUUCGGCAGGUCCAUCCGUGGUCCUAAAUUAUUCAUUUUUCGCCAGCCGGACUCAAAUGUUAUUUCUAUUCUCUGCUCAUUCAGCGUAUGAUGAAUUAAUGAUUGUAGAGUUGGUAUUUUUGAAAAAAAGGAAAAAUGUAGAGUUGGUAAAUCUUCUUGAGUCUAGUCAAAUGUCAAAUGAUCUUCCCCUGAAGAAAUUUUUUCCCUGUCAAAACCCCAUAUCCAAUCCAGUAUACGAGGUGUCUUUGGCGGGUGUGCGUCCAUGGCUGAGAUAUCAUAAUUUGUUUGUUUUGUUCGUUCGUUUGCGGUAGAAGAUAGGAUAUGCAUGUACGCAUCCUUAUUAUAUAAGAGAAACCUGUUUUGUCUUUUAGUUUGUACUAAAAGAUAGGAUGUGCAUGUAAGCAUCCAUAGUUACACCCCGCAAAAAAAACUCAUAGUUACAAUAUCAUGUAAUAACAGUGGCGAAGCUAGAAAAUAAUCCAAUCCAGCAUACAAUGUAUCUUUAGUGGAGUCGCAAAAAAAAUGUAUCUUUGGUGGAUGCGUGUCCAUGGCUAAGANNNNNNNNNNNNNNNNNNNNNNNNNNNNNNNNNNNNNNNNNNNNNNNNNNNNNNNNNNNNNNNNNNNNNNNNNNNNNNNNNNNNNNNNNNNNNNNNNNNNNNNNNNNNNNNNNNNNNNNNNNNNNNNNNNNNNNNNNNNNNNNNNNNNNNNNNNNNNNNNNNNNNNNNNNNNNNNNNNNNNNNNNNNNNNNNNNNNNNNNNNNNNNNNNNNNNNNNNNNNNNNNNNNNNNNNNNNNNNNNNNNNNNNNNNNNNNNNNNNNNNNNNNNNNNNNNNNNNNNNNNNNNNNNNNNNNNNNNNNNNNNNNNNNNNNNNNNNNNNNNNNNNNNNNNNNNNNNNNNNNNNNNNNNNNNNNNNNNNNNNAUCCAGCAUACAAGGUAUCUUUGAUGGAUGCGUGUCCAUGGCUAAGAUAUCAUAAUUUGUUUGUUUGUGGUAGAAGAUAGGAUAUAUAUGUAAGCAUCCUUAUUAUCUAAGAGAAACCAUGGACAGAUUGUUUUGUCUUUUAGUUUGUACUAAAAGAUAGAAUGUGCAUGUAAGUAUCCAUAGUUACACCUCGCAAAAAAAAAACAUCCAUAGUUACGAUAUCAUGCAACAGUGGCGGAGCUAGAAAAUAAUCCAAUCCAGCAUACAGGGUAUCUUUGGUGGAUGCAUGUCCAUGGCUAAGAUAUCAUAAUUUGUUUGUUUUAUUUGUUUGUUUGUGGUAGAAGAUAAGAUAUACAUGUAAGAUCCUUAUUAUCUAAGAGAAAUCAUGGACCGGUUGUUCUGUCCUUUAGUUUGUACUAAAAGAUAGGAUGUGCAUGUAAGCAUUCAUAGUUACCAUAUCAUGUAGCAGUGGUAGAGCCAAAAAAAACAGAUUGAAGGGGUGCCAAGUGAUGUUAACACAUAUUGGGGAUGGUUUUAACAACAAGUAAUCAGUGAUCUAAUCUAAAAACCUGCAUGUUGGCCUGGAACCCAAGCCCCUGCUAGCCACCCCCUGCCUCCACCAUUGGGGCUGGGGGGGGGGGGGACAUGAAGGGUUGUGUGUGUGUGGGUAGGGUGAGGAGGAAAUGGAUUUAUUUUCUUCAAUAUAAUCCCUCCUAUAUUUUUGUUUAUUAUAUUGUUAUUGCCAUGGUAUUAUGGUUGUCUCCUUAAUUAUACUGUUACUCUGAGGAUUUUGCUACUUAAUUAGCUGAUUUUUAUACAAUUAGGAGAAGUGCUCAUAAAGUUAGGUGAUAGAAAAAAAUGCAAAAGAUAAUUAAGAUAUAUUGAUCACUGCUGCAUAUAUGACACUUUUAUUUUGAUGAAUAUUCUGAGAAGUCAGAUCAAUAUCUAGUUUGUCAACAAUGUGCUAAUUUUUUUGUGGCUAUAGUUGAACAACAAUCUAUAUGAUAAUAAGCUCGACACAUCAUAGUUCUGUAAUUGAAAUGUAAGAGUAGGUUGCCUCUGUAAUAGAACCUGCAAAAGAGUGCGUCAAGGGUUUGUGUGGUUAACGAUUAUUUAGGGAACCAAUUUUCCUUAAACUCAUAACAGACUAAAACUUUGUUUGUUCUCGUAUCUAGAUUUGGUUCUAGUAAAACCCUAAACCCGAGCUUUCGUUUUGUUAUAAAUGUUUUUAUAUUAUCCUCAACAACAUUGUUACUACUUACAAGGCCCUUAGUUUUCUCUGUGAUGCGCACGGGCAUAAUAGAUGAGGGUAGGAAAGUCACACAUGGAUUUGUAGAAAGCGGUUUAAGACUUUCCGAUUCCAAAUAAGAUUUUUCUGUAAUCCUAAUCUAACCAAACCAUUAUAGUAAAAUUUAUGCUCUGAAAAAUCUUCUUAAAAAGAGGUUUGCUAAAAAUCGAUUGCUAAAGUACAAUAGUUUUAUCCCUAGUUUCUAUCAUCGACCUUCAUAAGUUAGUCAUAAGUAACUGCCUUCGAAGAUUGCUACUAUGUGGAUCUUUUCUUUUGUAGAUAAUAAAAAUAAAUGUUUUUGUCCCUCGACUCUCACCCAAGUAUAAGUUUGAGAAGAACUCAAAUAUUAGACAUCUAUGACCGAAAGUGCCUUUCUGCUCCCGAGCUCAUUUGAGCUCGGUGAACAGUAAAAUCGAAAAAAAAUAAAAAAAAUUCAAAAAAUUCCAAAUUUUUUUUGGGAGAAACAUUGACAAAAGUUCUAAAUGCUUGCAAAAAUUCAUCAUGAAAUCACAUUCCUGUAAAGCGUGGCAAAAAAAACAAAUUCAGUGCUCCAAAAUGCUUUUGAAAGUAGUUUUUUCAGAGUACUGAUUUUGUUUUUUUUGCCACGCCUUCUAGAAAUGUGAUUUCAUGGCGAAUUUUUGCAAGCAUUUAGAACUUUUGUCAAUGUUUCUUCCAAAAAAAAUUUGGAUUUUUUUAAAAAAAAUUUGAUUUAGUUUUGAUUUUACUGUUCACCCGAGCUCAUUUGAGCUCGGGUGCAGAAACUCAUCUAUGACUCCUCAACUCCAACAUCAGACAUCCUUGGUCCCUCAACUGUCUAAACUAUGGAUACCUGCUUCAAGCUGUUUUAGAGAUGACACGGCGGCAUUGCCGCAGACAUGCCAACCUUGUUAAAAGUGGAGACAACAGAAAGGGUGCUGGUUGGCUAACGAGAUUAGGAAUUUUAGUUUUACGCACAGGAAAAUACUAUUAGACUUGUAAUGAAAAUAAUUCCGUAAUAUCUUUUUGUACCCGUUGUUCUACGGUAAAUUUUAAUUCCGUAAUAUCGAAAUAUAGAAGUCUUUAUUAGCAGAAUUAACACUCGGAAUUACAUAUUUGGAGACCACGUUCAAGUCUGGAAACAUCAUCUCUAUUUACGUACGAAUGGUGUAGCUCAGAGAGCAACAGCACGCCUUUUUUUCCUUUACGAAAAGGGGAGCUGAUAGGACUUUGCGUGGAGACGAGAGGUCCAAGGAGGCAAAGCGCUCUCCAUCUCCUUCUAGAACUGAAAUUGCGCGAAGACGGAGACGGAGCCCGUGUGGGUGAGGCUGAGGCUGAUAAUGUAGCCCAAUGUACUAUGUAACUGAAUGAUGUAGCUGAUGUUGGCGACAUGCGCAAGUGAUCUGACGAGCCUGCUCCAAGUACAGUACCUUGAGCAGCGAUUUUGGCGAGUAGCAUGCACCACGUACAGUACGUAUCAGGCGCAUCAAUCGAGCUUCAAAUAGAUAGAUUUGGCUCCUGUCACACCAUGGAAGAAGUUUCCGCAGAUGUCACCGUCGCCACCAACUCUGUGCUGCCCAACACGGUGGUCGCCGGACCUGACGUGGCCGGCAGCGGCAGGCGUGGUCCGGAGUGAGCCAGGGAUUUCAAGGGCCGGCUAACCACCAAGCAAUAGCAACUGGCUGAUCUAUCACCCGUCGGUCCAUGAAAAAUGUCGUCGGGAAUAGAUCACUGGCCGGACCAUCUCACCUGCAUUAUGGCCUGCACGGCGUCAUUCCGGACAAAAUUAAGCACGCAUUUUCGUUGGAGGAGCUAGGCAGCAAGCUGUGUGCAUCGUGGGCCAGGCGUGCAGGCCGAGUGAUCAUUCGCCCGAUCGGCUUCGUUCGUUCAUCGAACGUACGUAUCUUUGUUGUGAAGCAGCGUGCAGCUUGAUGAUGCGCGACGCAUGCGAACUCGCCGAGAAGGAAAGAAGGAGGAGAAGGAAGCCGUGGCACCGAUGGAUUGGCGCUGUGGUUAACUACUCUUUUCUCCUUUGCGCGUUCCUUCCUUGUCGGUCACUCGUCGAUCUGAUCUGAUCUGUCGCCGCUGAUGACAGUCGAUGUGGUGUUGUGUGCGUGCGUGUCCGAGUCGACGCGCUGCCGUGGGCUUCAAGGCUGCUCUGCCUAAGCUAUCUCGCAAUGAUGCACGUAUGCGCGCGCGGCGCGGCGCGUCACCGACGGACCGACCGCGUGCACCCAUCAUGCUCAUGCAUCAUCAUGGGUUUCUCUUUCUCCUGUCCUGCGUGUGCAUGGCCGUCUCCGGGACGCGCCAUCAUCGUACGCGCCGACUCUCCCGACUACGCAAGGAGGUGGGUGAGGUGAGGAUUAUUACUAUUUUUUUCUUUUGCGAGGUAAGGUGAGGAUUAUUAACUGAGGUGAAGAUGUUGUCGUGUGAUGGAAUGUGCCAGAAGUCCAUAUAUAGUCAAAAAAGAAAAAGACAUGAAGAAUAAAACAGUGGGGAGAUUGUCCGCUGCAGACGGAGUAGUAAAUUGUGUGCAGGGGUAGAAAGAAGAUACUCCCUCCUAUUAGUAUUACUUGUCGCUCAAAUGAACAUAUUUGCUAAAUACUUCUGUUUGAACGACACGUAAUAUGGAUCGGAAGAAGUAGGAAAAGAUUGAAAGAAGUUGGUAGGUUGCAAGGAGAAACAUGGACCUGACUCAAUAAGGAAGAAGCUUAAAAAAAAGACCCAAUAAGGAAGACCAGUAAAAAAACGAAAACAACCAAAAGACAUGUGGCACUACUUAUGGUUGGAUGGUUAGAGAGACUGUGGUAUCCCCAGCCCAUCAGAAUUCAAAUCCUGAUGCUCGCAUUUUAUUCCUGAAUUUAUUUCAGGAUUUCCGACGAUACACAUUCAGUGAGAGCAGACGUUCCCAAACAGGAGGACCACCGCAAUGGCGCAUCUUGAUCUGCAGGGACGGUGCCAAGGCUUGCCGCCAUAUCUAAAAGUUUCCGUCAAUAAACCUACUAGUACUUGUAAAACUUAACUAGAAUCAUACUGAUUCUGUGUGUGUUGGGCCUGAGUAAUUGAUGACUUGCUAGUGGCCCUGUUGCAUUGGUCUUGUGAGUACACCCAACGGACGAAUUAAAACAAGAAUUCACUUUGCUAAAAAAACACGAAUACACUAUCUAGGCGGCCAGCUCGUCCGUUUCUUUGGUUCAAAAAUCAUGCAAAGUGGAAAUCCAUGUGAAGACCUGAUCAUGCGCGGAAAUGGCAUCGGGCAGGACACGGACGCGGCGAGCAGAGAGCGGCGGCCACCGCCGGCCACUGAAUUGGCGAGGCAAGGACGCAAGCGCAACUGGUCACAAAAUAGUGCAGAAGAAGUGCAAGUAAAUAUUUAAAGUUAAUUUAGAAUUUGAAACUGAACUUCGAAUUUUUGAAGAAAAAAUAUUUCGUUGGCUGAAUAAGCUCCAAUUCUAGGGAUUCCCUCAUUAUUGAAAUUAACCAAUUAGUUUUUGGAUUUUGGUUGUACUUGUUAAACACAAAGUAAAUUUCUAGUAUUCUAGUGAGCUUGCAUCAUUGUAUUAUACAUGCAUGUUUUCUUCUUCAUAAAUCUUACCAAACCUAAAAAUUAUUUCUGCCUCCGACACUGUCGCCAUAGCAGGACAGUUUAGUGUAGCGAACAAGCUCAAAAUAUAUUGUACCAAACCGGAGGAUACUUUAGUGAAAAAUAAUUACACUAUUUGUGAAUUUUUUAAAUUUAUAUUUUUGAACACAUUUUUGAAACAUGAACAUUUUUGAUAAUUCUGAAGAAAUUUUGAAAGAAAUAAACAAUCUUAGAAAUUCCAAUCAUUUUUUGAAAAGAGAACAUUUUUUUGAGAACGCAAAAUUUUUUUGUAUAAGUCUCUACUACUUAAAAAGAAUGUAUUUCACUUUUUUCCACCACUCUUUGUCCAACCUUCCCCAUAUGAUAACCAAAUAUCUUAAUUUAUUUACCUUCUGUGCCAGUUUCAUUUUAAUUAGUUAUUAAACUUCUCAUCAAAAUAACAGGAAGAACUUGAUAAAUAUUUAUUUAUACAAUCAAAUUAAUAUGGGCAGGUAAAUCACAUGCUAAUUACUAAAAUAUGUAUAUCCCGUUGCAACUCAGGGGCAUUAUCCUACUCCCACAAAAAUAAAAUUUAUGAAAAAACAUGAAAACAAGAACAUUUAUUUAAAUUCCUGUAUAACUUAUAAAUUUGUGAACAAAUUUCAAAACACAGACUUUUUUGACAUUGUGAACAAUUUUUAAAUCUUUGAACAGUUUUUAAAUGGGAAAAUUUUCUAAAAUUUCUGAAAAAAGAAUAUCAGGAACACGAAAAAUAUUUUUAAUACGUCAACACUUUUAAAGGGGGGACUUUUUGGAAGAGAAAACAAGUAAAAACAGUAGGAAAAAGGUAAAAACCGGACAGAAACCUUCCGAACGUACGUGUUCUCAAAAUGGGCCCGCCCUAGGAGGACUACCUAGCGCAAGGUGGCGCCUAUUUGACGCGGCCGCCCAUGUGGGGCCGAGGUCCCCAGUUUUUAUUCUUUUUUCCUUUUAUGUUUCUUUUCUGUUUGUUUAUGUUUUUUAAUUUUUAAUUUAUUUUUAAUAUCCUUUUUUAUUCUUUUUUGUAUAUCUUAGGUAUUUUUUCUAAAAUCUUGAACAUUUGUUUUGCUCAAUGAAUUCAAAAAAUGUUCAUCUAAUUCAAAAAAUAUUUAUCAUAUUCAAAAUUUGUUUCAUCAUUUUCAAAAUUUCUUCACCAUAAUUCAAUAAAAUGUUCAUCCAGGUUUCAGAAAGUUCAUCCAAUUUUCUAAAAAGUAUUCUUGAAUUGAGAAUUUGUUCAUUAAGUUCAAAAAAUGAACAAUAUUAAUCUAAUUCGAAAAAGGUUCAUCUUCUUUAAAAAAAUUAUCGUAUUCAAAAUUUCUUUAUCAUAAUUUUUAAAAAUAUUCAUCAAGUUCAGUAAAGGUUCAUCCAUUUUUGAAAAUUUUAAUCUGAUUUUUUUCAGAAAUUGUUCUUCAAUUAUGAAUUUGCUCAUAAAAUUCAAAUUUUGUUCAUCUAAUAAGAAUGUUCAUGAAUAUGCAGAUUCACGAACAAUUUUUCAAAUUCUUGAACAUUAUUCCAGUUCAGGGAUAUUUUUGGGCUCCACAAACUUUUUUGAAAUUGGCGGUUUUUUGAUUCCAGAAAGUUUACUAAAUACCGAAUUAUUUAUAAAAGAAAAAAUAAAAAUAAAAAAGAAAUAAGAGGUUAUAGGGCUCCCAACUGCCGCUCAUGGGCUUGCCCAAGAUGGGCGCGUGGGUGCAGCGGGGUGUGCGCGCGCGUCCACUCCCUGCUGCGUGCUGCGCCAUAUAGGAGCUCCCCAUCCAUUUGACCACAAGGGCGAACUGUUGUGUGGUAAAUGGGUUGGCCAACACGGGAGGAAUGCUGGGGAGCAAUUAGUUGACAAACGCUUCUUCGGAAGCUUCACAACGAUCAGUGCCAUUUGACGCAUUCUCAGCCAUUCGCCACGUGUCGUGCUCCGGACGCUCUCUUCGGAUUUUGUUUUUUUAUUUUUCCGCAUGCGUUUUCGGCUUUUUAAAUGAUUUUUUUGGAUUUUUUUGACGUUUCGGUUUUUCACCGGUCUUCCUUAGCUUUUGGACAAAAAAUUGGGAACAAUAUUUUUCACGAAAAAACGCAUUUUUUUCGUGGGAGUCCCGGUUUUGCUUCCGCUAGAGGCACGUUUUUGCUUUCACGAGAGUCACGGCCGUGCCUCUCGGAAACGGGAAAAGACGCGUUUUUUGACGAGAGGCACGGUUUUGCUUCCGCGAGAAGCAUGGUUGUGUGCUUUCGCGAGAAGCAUGGUCGCGCCUCCUCGAAAAUGAAAAAACGCGUUUUCUCUUCGUUUUUUCCUUCCGCAACAGACACGAUUGUGAUUUUGUGAGAGGCACGGACGUGCCUCUUUCGAAAAGGGAAAAAACAUAUGCUCCAGAUUUGGUUUUUUCGUCUGAUUUUUUGUCCGGUUUUUUCGUCUGAUUUUUUGUCCGGUUUUUUCGUGAAAAAAAAUUCUUCAAAACCUAUCAACAUGAGAUCCAAUUUGAAGAUCUCAAUGCGAUGAAUCUAACGGUGAAAGCAGUUCAAAAUUUGGACGCACGGUUUAAGAGAUAAAACAUUUUAAAUAAAUUGAUCUAUGAAAAAAGGGAAAACUUUCAGGUUGCAACAAGUGAGUACUCCUUAAUUAGUGAUUUCGGGAAUGCUGGCCAUUGGGCACUUGAUAAAUGGGCGGGCCAACUGGGAGGAAGGCAGGCUCGCUAUUGCACGUUCUAUUUUUUUGUCUAAUUACUAUACUUUUACUUAUAUUCUGUCCCCUAAAAAACUUAUAUUUAUGAAAAUAUUCUCAAAAAAAACUUACAUUUUUUAAACGGCAAAAAAUAUUAUAUUUAUAUUUUGAAAAUGUUCAUGCCUCCAUUAAAUAAUGUUGGUAGCGUUGGAAAAAAUGUGCGUGGCAUUCAAAAAUUGUUCAUGCAUUUUAAAAAUAUGUUUGUGACAUUUUUGGUGUAAAAUGGUAACACAAUGUAAAGAAAACGUUUGCAUGAUUUUAAAAAAUAUUUUGUACCGUUAAAAUAGCGUUCUUGGUAUUUAAAAAUUUAUUCACAUGAUUCGAAGAUAUGUUUCUCAUAUUUUUUAUAACAUUUAUUACAACCAAAUGUUCGACUGAUUUACAAAACAAUUGUACAAUUAAAUGUUUUUUGAUGAUAUUUAUAAAUAUGUUCACAUGUUUCAAAAAAAUCAUCAUAUUGUUGGGAAUUUUUGUAAUACAAAAAAAUUGUCAAGUAAUUUAGAAAAAAAGUCAUACGGUUGUAAAAAUAUUAAUGAAGUUCAAAAGAUAUUUAUGCAUAACAAAAAAUGUUCAAGAAUUUGUUUUUUAAUUUUUAAUACAAUACAAAAAUUGUUCUCUUAUUUUGUUUGAACGUAAUUACCAUUAAAAAACGUUUAAUGCAUGUUUGGAAAAUCUUUAACAUUUAUUCGAAAACAUGUUUAUCUUUUGUUUUCAAAAUAUUUAACAUGUAUUCAAAAAUAAUGCUGAAACAUGUAUUUGAAAAAAUAUUAAUCGUGUAUUUGAGAAAUGUUCAACGUGUAUCAAAAAAAAUGUUUCAUGUCUAUACGAAACAUUUAUGACUUGUAUUAAAAAACAAUACCUAUAUUUGAAACCCUGUUCAAGAAUUCAUCCAAUUAACCAGUUGACUUGCCGAUUAAUCCCUACUCAUAGGGUCACCGAGUAGCCGAUAAACCAAAAAAUCAUCCAAUUAAUUGAUUAAAUGUCUGAUUAACUUGCCGAUUAGCCAAUUAAUCCCUUACUCGCUAAUCAAUCGAGCAACUACCAGUUAACGAUUUCCUCAACAAUGAUUUGAAAAGACAAAAUUGAAAAGAGAGUAAAACAAAUGUAAAGUUGUAAACCAAUAAAAGAAACAUAGAAAACAGAAGAAAAUAAAAUGUAUAGAAGUUUCUAAAACCAGUCCAAAUCAGUCUAUAAAACCUUCUCAAACCCGCUUUAAUGGGCAAUCCCACUAAAGCGAGCAUGCCUCCAGCGCCACCAGAGGAGAGGUAUCUCUCAGAAAAAAAACAGAGGAGAGGUGGAGCUAUGUCUCGCUUCGCGAAAGGCCUAGCCUAGUGUAUACCAAAACCCCUAUUUCUAACGAAGAUUACAUUCUCAUGUUUCACCACUUGUUUCCACAGCUUCAGCUAUUCAAUCGGUGACCGCCACGCGAAUUAAUUUGGGACAUAAGCAGGUACGAUCUUGUGUGGACGUAGCAGCUGUCGCGCAAAUUUCAUUAACGUGCGGGGCAUGCUUGUGUGCGUACUCAGGUGCCCGUAGCGAUCUGUUCCGAUCCUAUGUUCAUCCCCUGUGUGUUGAGUUGUCUCUGGUCUGGAAGGCUCUGUAUCCAUCCCGAACCACGCAGCCCACCGCCCCGCCGCCCACCACGCAACUGCCUGCCACUACUCCAUUGCUAUGUACGGGUAUAAAAAUCCUCCCCACCUCUCCUUUCGAGCUCACCACUACGCAUGAGCGCGUCAACUAUGCCUAAACCCGUUCUCCCCAACCUGGUUGCCGGCCAAUGCCUUGCCGAAGCCGCCAUGUUACGAUCAAACUACAACUGGCAGCACACCAAGUAGAGUUUAGAUCAAUUCAUCUCAGAAUAAGAAGGAUUGAAGAUAGAGGGUAGCAGCCAGAGAGGGGAAAAUAGAGUUUACAACUCAGUUCUUUUUCUUCUUAUCUCCACUGCGGCCCUUUUUCCUAAUACAUAGCCAAGCUGCUGGAAUCUGGACGCAGCCAGCUCACGCACGCGCACCACACGUGACUUCACUUGGGCUCAUCUUGGGCUCGUCUCGUUCCUGUCGGCCUACUUCUAUACUGGACGAUGUGGGCUGGUCCAUAUCUGUGACACUGCCUCCCCCUUUGGAACCUGCUUGACCCCAAGCGGUCGCAUUGGGAUAAUCUUGCAAGAGACGCUCCUUGUUCUCCCAGGUAUGCCAAGCAGCAGGCAAGGAAGACCAUUGCACGAGUACAAGCAAUGUAGAAAAUGCUCCAGUCUGAAUUUGUUUGGUAUCCAGAAUGUGAAGAGGGAAUAUACCUGCCUCCAUUGAUGUACAAGCAGCUGGGAGAUCCACCUCAGGAGUAACUUGAGCUGGAAUAGCCUUUUUCAAGAGUGAAACAUGGACCACAGGAUGAAUAAGACUACCUUGUGGUAACUGCAGUUUGUAGGCAACAGUACCCACUUUUUGAAUGAUUUUGUAAGGCCCAAAGAAUUUGUAACUCAACUUCUGGUUUGAGCGUCGUGCAAUAGAAGUUUGAACAUAUGGUUGUAACUUUAAAUAAACAUCUUCCCCCACUUGGAAAGAACGCUCAACGCGCUUUUUAUCUGCCUGGCUCUUCAUUCGUUGUUGAGCUCGAAGAAGUUGUUGCUGAAUUAAAGCAUUCAUAUCCGCUUUGUCUUUGAGCCACUGCUCUAAAUCAGGAGGGGAAACAGCAGAACUAUCUUGAAUACUGAAGUGUUUUGGCUUAUACCCAUAGAGUACUUCGAAUGGAGAUUUGCCAAGUGCUGAAUGCCAUGUGGUAUUAUACCAGUACUCCGCUAAAGAUAUCCAACGAGACCAUUUGGUGGGGCAUGCUUGAGUCAUACAUCGCAAAUAUGUUUCAAGACACUGGUUCAAACGCUCGGUUUGACCAUCAGUUUGAGGGUGAUAGCUUGAACUCAUAUUCAAGGUUGUAUCUGUGAGUUUGAACAACUGUUGCCAGAAUGUGCUUGUAAAUAUCUUAUCCCUAUCUGAUAUGAUAACCUUAGGGAGACCAUGCAACUUGUAAAUAUUGUCAACAAAUAACUGGGCAACAGAGGCAGCUGUAUAGGGAUGGGACAGAGGUAGGAAAUGUCCAUACUUUGUGAAUUUAUCAAUAAUGACCAGAAUGGUGUCGUACCUUGCUGACUUUGGUAAACCCUCAAUAAAGUCCAGACUAAUAAUAUCCCAGGCCUUCUCCGGUAUAGGCAAAGGUUGUAAUAACCCAGGGGUCCUAAUGUGCUCUGACUUUGCUUGUUGGCAAACUGUGCACCUGGAUAUAUAGUUAAUGACAUCAUUUUUCAGUUGCGGCCAAGCAAACAGACUUUUAACCUUGUUAUAGGUUGCUGUGAUUCCACUAUGACCACCAAUGCCACUAGUAUGAAGUGCCAACAUGAUAGCUUGCUUUGCUUCUUGAUGGUUUCCUAACCAAAUGCGGUCAUUGUACUUGAUAACACCAUCAUGCAAAGAGUAACCUUGAGCAUCAGGGCUAGAUAUACUCAACUGGGUCAAUAAUUGUUUAGCCUGAGGGUCCUGCAAGUAGCUCUCAACGACAACCUCCAACCACUUAGGCUUACUGACCGAAAUUGCUAUUAAUUCUUGUGAGCCUUGACAACGAGAUAAUGCAUCGGCAACCGAAUUGUUGGAGCCUUCCUUAUACUUGACUUUGUACUGCAAUCCCAAAAGUUUGCAGAAUGCCUUAUGCUGAAUCGAAUUGGUCAAUUGUUGAGUCUCGAGGUGAACCAAUGUUUUAUGAUCGGUGUAGAUAGUAAAUUCACGAUGCUGUAAAUAAGGUUUCCAUUUCUCCACUGCCAUAAUAAGCGCGAGACACUCUUUCUCAUAGGUGGAUAGAGCUUGUGUGCGAGGGCACAAGGAUCUACUUAGGUAAGAAAUCGGAUGGCCUUUCUGAGAAAGAACUGCACCAAUUCCCAUCCCUGAAGCAUCAGUAUGAAUAUCAAAGGACACCUUAAAAUCUGGCAAAGCCAAGACAGGGGCUUGCAUGAGGGCCAAUUUCAAGGCUUGAAAAGCUGCACCCCUUGUGCUAGUCCAUGUGAAUUGCACAUUCUUCUUUAGUAACUCAGUGAGAGGACGACUUAUUGUACCAUAGUGAGCAAUGAAUUUUCUAUAGUAUCCAGCAAGGCCAAGAAAUCCUCGUAAUUGCUUCACAUUGGAGGGUGUUGACCAAUCCUUAAUAGCUUGUAUUUUAGCUGGGUCGGUGGCUACUCCAUCUGCACUAAUGAUAUGCCCAAGAUAUUCCAAAGAUGGUUGUGCGAAGGAACACUUAGAGGCCUUGAGGUAUAAUUUGUUCUGCUGUAGGAUCUGAAACUCUUGCUUUAACAACAUAUUAUGAGCGUCCAAGGUAGGUGCAUAUAUCAAGAUAUCAUCCAUAAAGAUAAGAACUCCUUUGCGUAGAAGAUGUGCAAAUAAGACAUUCAUAGCCUUCUGAAAGGUAGCCGGGGCAUUUGUAAGGCCAACGGGCAUAACCCUGAAUUCCCAAUGCCCAUGAUGUGUCUUGAAAGCGGUUUUAUAUUCUUCCCCAUCAACUAGCCAGAUUUGAUGAUAACCACUGCGAAGGUCAAGUUUGGUGAAAUAUUGCGCACCACAAAGCUCAUCCAAUAGCUCAUCAACAAUAGGUAUUGGGUAUUUAUUUUUCACUGUCAAUUCAUUGAGGUAGCGAUAAUCUACACAUAAACGCCACCCUCCAUCUUUUUUCUUCACCAAGAUUACUGGAGAAGCAUACGGGCUAGAACUAUGUGUAAUGACACCACGAUCAAGCAUCUCUUUGAUUUGUCUUUCCAAUUCAUCCUUCUGUGAUGGAGCAUACCUAUAUGGUUUCUUCUGCACUGGAAUAGCACCCGGAAUCAGUGGAAUGGAGUGAUCGAAAGAACGUGCUGGUGGCAAGUCAGUGGGCUCUGUAAAUGUUUCAGCAUGCUCAUCAAGUAAGGCCUGUGUAGAUGGAGGUACAACAAAAGCUCCCUUGACAUAAGUGGCAGGACACAACUGAAUAAGCUGGGCCACAGCACCUUGGUUCACCAUUUGAUAUAAUUGUUUGGUGGAAACUGCAGGGCAAUAGGUAGUGUUAUCAUUAAUGCCACGCAAUGUAAUGCGCUUGCCUUCAUGAUUAAAUCUCAGCUUCUUGCGCCUCCAGUUAACCCACAUUUCACCAUUGCCAAUGUCCUCUAACCAGUCCAUACCUAAAAUGAUGUCAUAUCCUUGCAACGCCAACACGCGCAUAUCAGCUGUGAACUUAUGUUGUUGGAUGCCCCAUGUUAGCCCUGAAAUGCCAGUGUUGCUUAGCAUAGUGGAGCCGUCAGCAAUAGCCACUCGAACAGGAGAUAAUUGUUGUACAGGAAUUUGAAGAGCUUCAACCACAUUUGAAUUAAUAAAAUUUCCAGAACUUCCCGAGUCGACCAAAAUCAGUACUUGGCACUUGCCAAUGUAGCCUUGCAGACGAAGUGUUUUCUUUCCAGUAGUACCUUGUGUCGCUGCAGCUGACAAACUGAAAACUUCCUCACUAGUAUCACUAUCCGACUCUAUGGGCUUUGCAUCACUUUCAGACUCAGCUUCCACUUGCAAAGCUUGACAUAAUUCUUCAGCAACCAAUAAAGACACUUAUUGAGGGCAUUUAUGACCUGGUGCAUAUUUCCCUCCACACUUGAAGCACUCACCACGGGCACGUCGUUGAGCUUUCAGUUCGGCAAGCUGUACAGUAGCAGCUUUAGCUUCUGUCCAUUUUGCAGCCCCUUCACUAACAUGUGCUUCAGCAGGAUGAGGUCCCAAUUUUCCUGGUCCAGCCUGGUUAUGCCAUUUCUUAGGUUCAUAACGAGGACGGCGGUAAUCAUUUAACUAAGCUUCCUGCAAUAAGGCUAGAGAAAUAGCCGCAUCAACUGUCCUUGGUUUAUGCAAAACCAGAGCGGAACUAAUCUCUUUUUUUAAUCCUUUAAGAAACUUUGUUACAAAAAAGGUAUCAUCAAGAGCAGAGUUGUGUGUAAGCAACUGAUGCAUGAGUAACUCAAAUUCCCUAUGGUAACUCUCGACAUCACCUGUUUGUCUAAUUUCUAGUGUUUUAGUCAUAUUGGUGUAGUACAAAUUCUUACCAAAUUUCUGACACACAGCAACACACAAUUGAGGCCAACUAUUGAUGUCAUGGUUGGCUUCGUAGGUCUGAAGCCACAUAGCUGCUGUAUUAAUGAAAUGUAAUGUUGCAUAGUCCACUUUAUAGUCUUCAGGGACAUGAAACAUAUGGAAAUACUUUUUAGCCUUAUCUUUCCAUAUCUUUGGGUCUGUACCAUCAAACUUAGGGAAUGAAGUUUUGGGCAUAUGAAAAUCACGAGACUGAUCUCUAGUAUUCCUAUCAUGCCUAAAACCCAAAUUAUCCUCAUGUAGUGCAGUACGGAGAUGAGAUGGACCAGAUUCAUGCUGGUUUUGAGAGAGGCGAAACGCACCAUUGCCCAGGACAUGCCCUUGAGCAUUGUCCUGGUUUGCAAAUUCUUCACGGCGCCCACCUGGGCCAGGAGUUCGUGUAGCAGUAGCUAUAGUGCCUUCCAAUGAGGUAAGACGCACACUGAAACCCUCGACUUGAGUCUCCAAGACGGCCACCUUGUUGGAGACAUUUUCAUUAGCCUUGAGAAGCCGCUCGGUGGUGAUUUGCAGCGCUUGACAGCUCGUCGCCGUUUGGGUUACCGUAUCAGCUGUCUUGUUAAGCGUUUCUGAGGUCUUGGUGAGGCCAAUAAUGAGAUCACCAAGGGUGGACUGCAUCUGCUCCAUCGUCAUUGUCGCCGUAGCGACCUGGCCUUCGAUGAUAGUCAUCCGCUGCGUCAGCGUCGAGGGACGAGGUCCAUGCGCCGUGGUGUCGAAGCUCCAGACGCCAAGGUCUACCGCCGCCUAGACCAAUGAGUACUAAGAUUGUGUCCCUUUUCCUCUACCAAUUGGUCUGAUUACGCCGCCUGAACCACGCAAAUCCGGCAGAUCGACAGGAAUUUUACAACUUGUGCAAAGGGACGCACAGGGAACCUUCAAUCAUCGUCGAAUUCGUAGCCGAAUGUAUCGCCGCCGCCACGAACGCCGCCACCGGUGCCGCUCGAAAAUCACCGCAGCCACCACACCGCCGCCGCGAGAGAUGAGCGAGGUUGGGGAUUCUAUGGGAGAUCCCAACCCAACCACCUCAAACCCUCGAUUCGCCGCCACAGCCGCCGAAUCUGGGACGAAAUCAGGAGGUUGUGCACAGAAAAAAUUCUGGCUAUUUUUGUGGAUUUUCUCUAAAAUUGGGGAUAACUGAUCCGAAGAUCGAAGGCUCUGUAUACCAUUUGUUACGAUCAAACUACAACUGGCAGCACACCAAGUAGAGUUUAGAUCAAUUCAUCUCAGAAUAAGAAGGAUUGAAGAUAGAGGGUAGCAGCCAGAGAGGGGAAAAUAGAGUUUACAACUCAGUUCUUUUUCUUCUUAUCUCCACUGCGGCCCUUUUUCCUAAUACAUAGCCAAGCUGCUGGAAUCUGGACGCAGCCAGCUCACGCACGCGCACCACACGUGACUUCACUUGGGCUCAUCUUGGGCUCGUCUUGUUCCUGUCGGCCUACUUCUAUACUGGACGAUGUGGGCUGGUCCAUAUCUGUGACACGCCAUCACCCAUCUUCUCUGGUUGUCGGUCGAGUCAGAGGGGCUGCUUAAGCGGGAGAUAUCCCGACUCAAGCGCCGAUGACACGUCACCGGGUUCUCACCAUCUCUCCCCCCUCACUCCCCUUCUCUCUUCCCCCCCCCUCCCCCGCCGCUCGAUUUCGCUCUAUCAUUGAUGGUCCUUCUGCCGCUGCGGAGAUCAGUAGCACUUUCAUCACUAGCGGCGGUCAGGCAAAAUCAGUGACCUCACAUGAGGGUAGCAGCGUAGUUACAGCGUAGUUACAGGCCAUCUGCUGUCGUGAUCCGGUGUGGGAGGAAUCGCUGUGGAGGCUUCUCCCCCGUUCCCUACCACCGCAACUGUGGCCUGCCCCCCCGAAGCAAACCCUCAACUCAGUCGAGCCCCGUGCCAGAGAGUGGUCUAGGCCAUGAACAUCCCUCUUUGUUCAACUUCUUUGGUUGCCUGCCGCUAUAUGGGCAGCGCUUGAAAGCAGAUCGAUCUGGGUGAGGCGGAGAAAAAAAUUAGUCCUACAAUGUUCCUAGCCUCUUCUUCAACAAUCGAUUACUCUUCCGCUGGAGACGACUAUUAAUUCCACUUCUCUCUUUUCUUUACAUUCCAUAAAUAAUGUUAUUGUCUAUUAUUUCUUAUUACACUAUUUUUUCUGUUUCAGUGAGGAGCUUGAAAGAAUGGAUCUCAACCGCACUAUAUGAAGCUUCGGGAGGGAAGGAAAGACUAAGAGUGCUCAGCGGAAUCAUAGGAGCUCUUGGAGCAUGCACAUGCGACUGGAUGCAACAGGCGAGCUCAAACUGCUUGAGUUCGUCGGCCAUGGCGGCGGCCGUUCUCGGAGCUCGCGGGGAUGACGCUAUAGUGCAAAUUAAAGCAGAGGAGAUGGGGGAAAUCAAAGAGGGAGAAAACGACCCGAGAAAGAUUGCAACAAGACCAUUGUUGUAGAUAAAUGAGCGCAAUAUUGAGUUUGUUGCAGAGAUCAACGACUACUUGACACUCCAUCCAACGGCUACUGAGACGGCCGAUCUUUUCAGAUUAUCCGUCGAUCAACGCGUAGCGCUGCCCUUAUUACAUUGGAAUGGUGAUUUUCUUGAUAAAACAACAAUGUGACAUAAAACUCCAACCAAAAUGGUGCUUCAGUCCGAUGGCUUCUACAUUUCCAUAUCCUAGAAGGUCACACAAGAAUUAUAUAGUGAAGUCAUGACCAGGGUCUUUUACAGGAGUUCUUGUACAUCACUCUCCAUAUCGGCACCUUUAACCCCUAUGUGAACAAAUGAAAAGUUUCCAUGUUAAAAAUUCUAUCUAUAUAAUUCAUAUAUCCACAUAUCCAUUGCUCGACUCAUAGUUUCUAGCAUAUUCAAGUACUCUCUCUGUUCCAAAAAGUAUUUCAAUUUUGUACUAACUUUAGUACAAAGUUAUACUAAAUUUGAGACACUUGUUUUGAUAUGGAGAAAAUGUUGGAAAUAUGCCCUAGAGGCAAUAAUAAAUUAGUUAUUAUUAUAUUUCCUUGUUCAUGAUAAUCGUUUAUUAUCCAUGCUAGAAUUGUAUUGAUAGGAAACUCAGAUACAUGUGUGAAUACAUAGACAGUACCAUGUCCCUAGUAACCCUCUAGUUGACUAGCUCAUUGAUCAAUAGAUGGUUACGAUUUCCUGACCAUGGACAUUGGAUGUCGUUGAUGACGGGAUCACAUCAUUAGGAAAAUGAUGUGAUGGACAAGACCCAAUCCUAAGCCUAGCACAAGAUCGUGUAGUUCGUAUGCUAAAGCUUUUCUAAUGUCAAGUAUCAUUUUCUUAGACCAUGAGAUUGUGCAGCUCCCGGAUACCGUAGGAAUGCUUUGGGUGUACCAAACGUCACAACGUAACUGGGUGGCUAUAAAGGUGCACUGCGAGUAUCUCCGAAAGUGUCUGUUGGGUUGGCACGAAUCGAGACUGGGAUUUGUCACUCCGUGUAACGGAGAGGUAUCUCUGGGCCCACUCGGUAGGACAUCAUCAUAAUGUGCACAAUGUGACCAAGGAGUUGAUCAUGGGAUGAUGUGUUACGGAACGAGUAAAGAGACUUGCCGGUAACGAGAUUGAACGAGGUAUCGGGAUACCGAUGAUCGAAUCUUGGGCAAGUAUCGUACCGACAAAGGGAAUUGUAUACGGGAUUGAUUGAAUCCUUGACAUCGUGGUUCAUCCGAUGAGAUCAUCGUGGAGCAUGUGGGAGCCAACAUGGGUAUCCAGAUCCCGCUGUUGGUUAUUGACCGGAGAGUUGUCUCGGCCAUGUCUGCAUGACUCCCGAGCCCGUAAGGUCUACACACUUAAGGUUCGAUGACGCUAGGGUUAUAGGGAAACUAUGUACGCGAUUACCGAAUGUUGUUCGAAGUCCCGGAUGAGAUCCUGGACGUCACGAGGAGUUCCGGAAUGGUCCGAAGGUAAAGAUUUAUAUAUCGGUAACGUACCGGGACCACCGGGAGGGUCCCGGGGGUCCACCAGGUGGGGCCACCAGCCCCAGAAGGCUACGUGGGCCAAGUGUGGGAGGGGACCAGCCCCAGGUGGGCUGGUGCACCCCCCACCAAGGCCCAAGGCACGUGGAGAGUGGGAAGGGGGCAAACCCUAGGUCCAGAUAGGCCGUAAGGCCCACCCUAGGGAGCCCCCCUCUCCUCUCCCCUUUGGCCGCCACCCUAGAUGGCAUCUAGGGCUGCCGCCACCCCUAGGGAUGGAACCCUAGAUGGGGGCGCAGCCCCUCCCUUCCCCCUAUAUAUACUUGAGUUAUUGGGGGCUGCCCAACACAUAAUUUGAUCUCCCUCUUGGCGCAGCCCUACUUCUCUCCCUCCUCGUCUCUCGUAGUGCUUGGCGAAGCCCUGCUGGAGUCCCGCGCUCCUCCACCAUCACCACACCGUCGUGCUGCUGUUGGACGGAGUCUUCCCCAACCUCUCCCUCUCUCCUUGCUGGAUCAAGGUGCGGGAGACGUCAUCGGGCUGUACGUGUGUUGAACGCGGAGGCGCUGUUGUUCGGCGCUUAGAUCGGAAUCGACCGCGAUCUGAAUCGCUGCGUGUACGACUCCACCAACCGCGUUCUUGUAACACUUCUGCUUAGCGAUCUACAAAGGUAUGUAGAUGCACUCCCCUUCCCCUCGUUGCUAGAUUACUCCAUAGAUUGAUCUUGGUGAUGCGUAGAAAAUUUUAAAUUUCUGCUACGAUCCCCAACAGUGGCAUCAUGAGCUAGGUCUAUGCAUAGUUUCUAUGCACGAGUAGAACACAAGUUGUUGUGGGCGUCGAUUUUGUCAAUUUACUUGUCGUUACUAGUCUUAUCUUGAUUCGGCGGCAUCGUGGGAUGAAGCGGCCCGGACCGACCUUACACGUACUCUUACGUGAGACAGGUUCCACCGACAGGCAUGCACUAGUUGCAUAAGGUGGCUAGCGGGUGUCUGUCUCUCCCACUUUAGUCGGAUUGGAUUUGAUGAAAAGGGUCCUUAUGAAGGGUAAAUAGAAAUUGGCAUAUCACGUUGUGGUUUUGGUGUAGGUAAGAAACGUUCUUGCUAAGAAACCUAUAGCAGCCACGUAAAAAUCUGCAACGACAAUUAAAGGACGUCUAACUUGUUUUUGCAGCAUAUGCCGUGUGAUGUGAUAUGGCCAAAAGGAUGUGAUAAAUGAUAUAUGUGAUGUAUGAGAUUGAUCAUGUUCUUGUAAUAGGAAUCACGACUUGCAUGUUGAUGAGUAUGACAACCGGCAGGAGCCAUAGGAGUUGUCUUAAUUUAUUUAUGACCUGCGUGUCAACAUAAACGUCAUGUAAUUACUUUACUUUAUUGCUAAAACGUUAGCCAUAGUAGUAGAAGUAAUAGUUGGUGAGGCAACUUCAUGAAGACACGAUGAUGGAGAUCAUGAUGAUGGAGAUCAUGGUGUCAUGCCGGUGACGAUGAUGAUCAUGGCGCCCCGAAGAUGGAGAUCAAAAGGAGCAAAAUAAUAUUGGCCAUAUCAUGUCACUAUUUGAUUACAUGUGAUGUUUAUCAUGUUUUACAUCUUAUUUGCUUAGAACGACGGUAGCUUAAAUAAGAUGAUCCCUCGCAAUAAUUUCAAGAAAGUGUCCCCCCUAACUGUGCACCGCUGCGAAGGUUCGUUGUUUUGAAGCACCACGUGAUGACCGGGUGUGAUAGAUUCUAACGUUCGCAUACAACGGGUGUAAGCCAGAUUUACACAUGCAAUACACUUAGGUUAACUUGACGAGCCUAGCAUGUACAAACAUGGCCUCGGAACACAGAAGACCGAAAGGUCGAACAUGAGUCGUAUAGAAGAUACGAUUAACAUGAAGAUGUUCACCGAUGAUGACUAGUCCGUCUCAAGUGAUGAUCGGACUGUUGGAAAUAUGCCCGAGAGGCAAUAAUAAAUUAGUUAUUAUUAUAUCAUAUUUCAUUUUUCAUGAUAAUCAUUUAUUAUCCAUGCUAGAAUUGUAUUGAUAGGAAACUCAGAUACAUGUGUGGAUAAAUAGACAACACCAUGUCCCUAGUAAGCCUCUAGUUGACUAGCUCGUUGAUCAAUAGAUGGUUACAGUUUCCUGACCAUGGACAUUGGAUGUCGUUGAUAACGGGAUCACAUCAUUAGGAGAAUGAUGUGAUGGACAAGACCCAAUCCUAAGCCUAGCACAAGAUCGUGUAGUUCGUUUGUUAAAGCUUUUCUAAUGUCAAGUAUCAUUUCCUUAGACCAUGAGAUUGAGCAACUCCCGGAUACUGUAGGAGUGCUUUGGGUGUGCCAAACGUCACAACAUAACUGGGUGGCUAUAAAGGUACACUACAGGUAUCUCCGAAAGUGUCUGUUGGGUUGGCACGAAUCGAGACUGGGAUUUGUCACUCCAUGUAAACGGAGAGGUAUCUCUGGGCCCACUCGGUAGGACAUCAUCAUAAUGUGCACAAUGUGAUCAAGGAGUUGAUCAUGGGAUGAUGUGUUACGGAACGAGUAAAGAGACUUGCCGGUAACGAGAUUGAACAAGGUAUCGGGAUACCGACGAUCGAAUCUCGGGCAAGUACAAUACCGCUGGACAAAGGGAAUUGAAUACGGGAUUGAUUGAAUCCUCGACAUCGUGGUUCAUCCGAUGAGAUCAUCGUGGAACAUGUGGGAGCCAACAUGGGUAUCCAUAUCCCGCUGUUGGUUAUUGGCCGGAGAGUUGUCUCGGUCAUGUCUGCAUGGUUCCCGAACCCGUAGGGUCUACACACUUAAGGUUCGGUGACGCUAGGGUUAUUAGGAAGACUUGUAUGUGAUUACCGAAUGUUGUUCGGAGUCCCGGAUGAGAUCCAAGACGUCACUAGGAGUUCCGGAAUGGUUCGGAGGUAAAGAUUUAUAUAUGGAAAGUUGUUGUUCGGGUUCCGAGAAAACUUCGGUUUUUUUCGGUAUUGUACCGGGAAGCUUCCGGAAGGUUCCGGAGGAUUCCGGAGGGGUCCGGAGGUCUGGAAAAUGUUCCACCACGUCCAAUACAACAGCAUGGGCUGUAGGGGGGCGCCCUAACCUUAAUGGGACAAGGGCACCAGCCCCCCCAAGGCCCAUGCGCAUGGGAGAGGGGAAACCCUAAGGGGGAGGGCCUCCACUUGACUUGGGAGGCACUCCUCCCCCCCUUGGCCGCCGCCCCCAACCCUAGAUGAGAUCUAGGGGGGCCGGCCCCCCUCUCUCCCCACCUAUAAAUAGUGGAGGGGUGGGAGGGCAGCCACACCCUUGAACCUGGCGCAGCCCCUCCCCUCCAAUACCUCUCCUCCUCCGCGUGAGCUUGGCGAAGCCCUGCCGGAGAACUGCCACUCCAUCACCACCACGCCGUCGUGCUGCUGUUGGACUCUCUUCCUCAACCUUUCCCUCCUCCUUGCUGGAUCAAGGCGUGGGAGACGUCUCCGUUCCGUACGUGUGUUGAACGCGGAGGUGCCGUCCGUUCGGCGCUAGGAUUAUCGGUGAUUUGGAUCACGACGAGUACGACUCCAUCAACCCUGUUCACUUGAACGCUUCCGCUUAGCAAUCUACAAGGGUGUGUAGAUGCACUCUCCUUCCCCUUGUUGCUACAUUACUUCAUAGAUUGAUCUUGGUGAUGCGUAGAAAAUUUUAAAAUUCUGCUACGAUCCCCAACAGUGGCAUCAUGAGCUAGGUCUAUGCGUAGUUUCUAUGCACGAGUAGAACACAAAGCAGCUGUGGGCGUCAAUUUUGUCAAUUUACUUGCUGUUACUAGUAUUAUCUUGAUUCGGCGGCAUUGUGGGAUGAAGCGGCCCAGACCGACCUUACACGUACUCUUACGUAAGACUGGUUCCAUCGACUGACAUGCACUAGUUGCAUAAGGUGGCUAGCGGGUGUCUGUCUCUCCCACUUUAGUCGAAUCAGAUUCAAUGAAAAGGGUCCUUAUGAAGGGUAAAUAGAAAUUGGCAUAUCACGUUGUGGUUUUGGCGUAGGUAAGAAACGUUCUUGCUAGAAACCUAUAGCAGCCACGUAAAAACUUGCAACAACAAUUAGAGGACGUCUAACUUGUUUUUGCAGCAUAUGCCUUGUGAUGUGAUAUGGCCAAAAGGAUGUGAUGAAUGAUAUAUGUGAUGUAUGAGAUUGAUCAUGUUCUUGUAAUAGGAAUCAUGACUUGCAUGUCGAUGAGUAUGACAGCCGGCAGGAGCCAUAGGAGUUGUCUUAAUUUAUUUAUGACCUGCGUGUCAACAUAAAUGUCAUGUAGUUACUUUACUUUAUUGCUAAAGCGUUAGCCAUAGUAGUAGAAGUAAUAGAUGACGAGACAACUUCAAGAAGACACGAUGAUGGAGAUCAUGAUGAUGGAGAUCAUGGUGUCAUGCCGGUGACAACGAUGAUCAUGGAGCCCCGAAGAUGGAGAUCAAAAGGAGCAAAAUGAUAUUGGCCAUAUCAUGUCACUAUUUGAUUGCAUGUGAUGUUUAUCAUGUUUUACAUCUUAUUUGCUUAGAACGACGGUAGCUUAAAUAAGAUGAUCCCUCACUAAAAUUUCAAGAAAAGUGUUCCCCCUAACUGUGCACCGUUGCGAAGGUUCGUUGUUUCGACGCACCACGUGAUGAUUGGGUGUGAUAGAUUCUAAGUUCGAAUACAACGGGUGUUGACGAGCCUAGCAUGUACAGACAUGGCCUCGGGACACAUGCGAAACACUUAGGUUGACUUGACGAGCCUAGCCUGUACAUACAUGGCCUCGGAACAUGGAAGACCGAAAGGUCGAACAUGAGUCGUAUAGAAGAUACGAUCAACAUGAGAUGUUCACCGUUGAUGACUAGUCUGUCUCACGUGAUGAUCGGACACGGCCUAGUCGAUUCGGAUCAUGUUUCACUUAGAUGACUAGAGGGAUGUCUAUCUGAGUGGGAGUUCAUUAAAUAAUUUGAUUAGAUGAACUCAAUUAUCAUGAACAUAGUCUAAAUUGUCUUCGCAAAUAUGUUGUAGAUAAAUAAGCUCACUUUGUAGCUCCCUGUUUCAAUACGUUCCUAGAGAAAGAUUAAGUUGAAAGAUAUUGUAAGCAAUGAUGCGGACUAGGUCCGUAGUCCGAGGAGUGUCCUCACUGCUACACAGAAGGCUUAUGUCUUUGAUGCACCACUCGAUGUGCAAACCCCUACAACGUCGUCUAUGGAUGUUGUGAACACCUGACAGACACAUUCUGAUGACUACCUGAUAGUUUAGUGCACCAUACUUUACGGCUUAGAAUCGGGAUUCCAAUGACGUUUUGAACGCCAUAGAACAUAUGAGAUGUUCCAAGAGCUGAAAUUGGGAUUUCAGGCUCAUGCCUGUGUUGAGAGGUGUGAGACCUCUGACAAGUUCUUUUGCCAACAAGAUGGAGGAGAAUAGCUCAGCUAGUGAGCAUGUGCUCAAAAUGUCUGGGUGCUACAAUCACUUAAAUCAAGUGGGAGUUAAACUUCCAGAUAAGAUAGUGAUUGAUAGAGUUCUCUAGCCACUAUCACUAAGCUACUAGAUAUUUGUGAUGAACUAUGACAUGCAGGGGAUGGAGAUGAUCCCGGAGCUAUUCGCGGUGCUUAAGACCGCAAAAGGUAGAAAUAAAAAAGGAGCGUCAAGUGUUCAUGGUUUAACAAGACCACUGGUUUCAAGAAGGGAAAGGGGUAGAAGGGAAACUUCAUGGAUGGCAAACCAGUUUCCGCUCCAGUGAAGGAACCCAAGGUUGAACCCAAACCCGAGACUGAGUGCUUCUAUUGUAAGGGGAACGGUCACUGGUAGCGGAAUUACCCCAAAUGCAUGGUAGAUAAGAAGGCUGGCAACUUCAACAAAGUAUAUACGUGUUAUUAAUGUGUACCUCACUAGUACUCCUGGUAGCACCUGGGUCUUGGAUACCGGUUCAGUUGCUAUUAUUGGUGACUUGAAGCAAAAGCUACGGACUAAAUGGAGAUUGGCUAAGGGCGAGGUGACAAUGUGUGUUGGAAGUGUUUCCAAAGUUGAUGAGAUCACUAUCGCACGCUCCAUCUGCCUUCGGGAUUAGUAUUGAACCUAGAUAAAUGUUAUGUUGAGCAUAAAUAUGAUUAGAUCAUGUUCAUUGCAAUACAGUUAUUCAUUUAAGUUAGAGAAUAAUGGUUAUUCUGUUUACAUGAAUAAUACCUUUCAUGGUCAUGCAUCCUAUGUGAAUGGUUCAUUGAAUCUCGGUCGUGGUAAUACACAUGUUCACGCCAAAAGAUGUGGAGUUAAUAAUGAUAGUACCACUUUCUUGUGGCACUGCCGCUUAGGUCAUAUUGGCGUAAGAUGCAUGAAGAAACUCCAUGUCGAUGGAUGUUUGGAGUCACUUGAUUUUGAAUCGCUUGACACAUGCGAGCCAUGCCUCAUGGGCAGGAUGACUAAGACCCCGUUUUCAGGUAUAGUGAAACGGGCAAUUGACUUGUUGGAAAUCAUGCAUGCUGAUGCGUGUGAUCCAAUGAGAAUUGAAGCGUGCGGUGGAUAUCGCUAUUUUCUCAUCUUCACUGACGAUUUGGGUAGAUAUAGGUAUAUCUACUUAAUGAAGCACAAGUCUGAAACGUUUGAAAAGUUCAAGCGAUUUCAGAGUGAAGUUAAGAAUCAUCAUAACAAUAAGAUCAUGUUCCUACAAUCUAAUCAAAAGGGGAUUUUCUGAGUUAUGAGUUUGGCAAUCACUUAAGACAGUGUGGAAUUGUUUCACAAUUGAAGCCACCUAGAACACCACAAGGUAAUGGUGUGUCCGGACGUCGUAAUCGAACCCUAUGAGAUAUGGUGCGAUCUAUGAUGUCUCUUACCAAUCUACCGUUUCCAUUUUGAGGUUAUGCGUUAGAGAUAGCUGCAUUCACUUUAGAUAGGACACCAUUUAAGUCCGUUGAAACGACGUCGUGUGAACAUUGGUUUGGCAAGAAACCAAAGUUGUCACUUCUUAAUGUUUGGGGCUGCGAUGCUUAAGGCUUCAGUCGGAGAAGCUCGAACCCAAAGCGAACAAACACAUCUUCAUAGGAUACCCAAAGGUGACAGUUGGGUACACCUUCUAUCUUAGAUCCGAGGGCAAAUUGUUUGUCGCUAAGAACGGGUCCUUUCUCGAGAAGGAGUUUCUCUCGAAAGAAUUGAGUGGGAGGAAUAUAGAACUUGAUGAGGUUGUCGAACCUUUACUUCAACCAGAGAGUGAUGCAACACAGAAAGAUGUUUUCUGUGGAGCCUACAUCUGUUGAAUAGGAAGUUAAUGAUAGUGAUCAUAAAGCUUCAGAUCAAGUUGCUACCGAACCUCGAAGGUCGACAAGGAUAUGUACUACUCCUGAGUGGUACGGUAAUCCUGUCUCAGAUAUCAUGUUGUUGGACAACAAUGAACCUACGAGCUAUGGAGAAGCAAUGGUGGGCCCAUAUUCCGACAAAUGGUUAGAAGCCAUGAAAUCCGAGAUAGGAUCCAUGUAUCAGAACAGAGUAUGGACUUUGGUGGACUUUCCCGAUGAUCAGCGAGCCAUUGAGAUAAAUGGAUCUUUAAGAAGAAGACGGACGUGGGCGGUAAUGUUACCAUCUAUGAAGCUCAACUUGUGGGAAAGAGUCUUUUCACAAGUUCAAGGAUUUGACUACGAUGAGAAUUUCUCACCCGUAGCGAUGCUUAAGUCCAUCGGAAUCAUGUUAGCAUUAGUUGUAUUUUUCGUUUAUGAAAUCUGACAGAUGGAUGUCAAAACAAGUUUUCUUACCAGUUUCCGUAAGAAAAGGUUGUAUGUGAUACAAUAAAAGGUUUUGUCGAUCCUAAGGAUGCUAAAAGGUAUGCUAGCUCCAGCAAUCCUUCUAUGGACUAGAGCAAGCAUCUCGGAGUCAGAAUACAUGCUUUGAUAGAGUGAUCAAAGAUUUUAGGUUUAUACAAUGUUUGCUAGAAACUUGUAUUUACAAGAAAGUGAGUGGGAGCACUACAACAUUUCUGAUAAGUAUAUGUGGAUGACAUAUUGUAGAUCCGAAAUAAUGUAGAAUUUCUGGAAAGCAUAAACGGUUUCUUGAAGAGUGUUUUUCAAAGGAAGACCUGGAUAAAGCUGCUUACAUAUUGAGCAUCAAGAUCUAUAGAAAUAGAUCAAGACGCCUGAUGAUACUUUCAAAGAACGCACACCUUGACAUGUUUUUGAAGGAGUUCAAAAUAGAUCAGUCAAAGAAGGGGUUCUUACCUGAGUUGUAAGGUGUGAAGUUGAGUAAGACUCAAAGCUUGACCACGGCAGAAGAAAGAGGAAGGACGAAGGUCGUCCUCUAUGCUUUUGUCAUAGGCUCUAUACGGUAUGCCAUGCUGAGUACCGCACCUGAUGUGUGCCUUGCCACAUGUCUGGCAAGAGGGUACAAACGUGAUCUAGGACUGGAUCACCAGAUAGCGGUCAAAAUUGUCCUUAGAGGAAUAAGGAAAUGUUUCUCGGUUAUGGAGGUGAUAAAGAGUUCUAUGUAAAGAGUUACGUCGAUGCAAGCUUAACACCUAUCCGGAUAGCUCUGAGUAGAGAUACCGGAUAAGUAUAAUGGAGCAACAAUUUGGAAUAGCUCCAAGUGGAACGUGGUAGCAGCAUCUACGAUAUGACAUAAAGUUUUGCAAAAUACAUAGGGAUCUGAAUAUGGCAAGACCCAUUGACUACAACCUCUCUCACAAGCAUAACAUGAUCAAACCCAGAACUCUUUGAGUGUUUAUCACAUAGUGAUGUGAACUAGAUCAUUGAGUCUAGUAGACUCUUGGAUGUUGGUCACAUGGCGAUGUGACCUGUGAGUGUUAAUCACAUGGCGAUGUGUACUAGAUUAUUGACUCCAGUGCAAGUGGGAGACUAUUGGAAAUAUGCCCUAGAGGCAAUGAUAAAUUAGUUAUUAUUAUAUCAUAUUUCAUUUUUCAUGAUAAUCGUUUAUUAUCCAUGCUAGAAUUGUAUUGAUAGGAAACUCAGAUACAUGUGUGGAUAAACAGACAACACCAUGUCCCUAGUAAGCCUCUAGUUGAGUAGCUCGUUGAUCAAUAGAUGGUUACAAUUUCCUGACCAUGGACAUUGGAUGUCGUUGAUAACGGGAUCACAUCAUUAGGAGAAUGAUGUGAUGGACAAGACUCAAUCCUAAGCCUAGCACAAGAUCGUGUAGUUCGUUUGCUAAAGCUUUUCUAAUGUCAAGUAUCAUUUCCUUAGACCAUGAGAUUGUGCAACUCCCGGAUACCGUAGGAGUGCUUUGGGUGUGCCAAAUGUCACAACGUAACUAGGUGGCUAUAAAGGUACACUACAGGUAUCUCCGAAAGUGUCUGUUGGGUUGGCACGAAUCGAGACUGGGAUUUGUCACUCCGUGUAAACGGAGAGGUAUCUCUGGGCCCACUCGGUAGGACAUCAUCAUAAUGUGCACAAUGUGAUCAAGGAGUUGAUCACGGGAUGAUGUGUUACGGAAUGAGUAAAGAGACUUGCCGGUAACGAGAUUGAACAAGGUAUCGGGAUACCGACGAUCGAAUCUUGGGCAAGUACAAUACCACUGGACAAAGGGAAUUGAAUACGGGAUUGAUUGAAUCCUCGACAUCGUGGUUCAUCUGAUGAGAUCAUCAUGGAACAUGUGGGAGCCAACAUGGGUAUCCAUAUCCCGCUGUUGGUUAUUGGCCGGAGAGUUGUCUCGGUCAUGUCUGCAUGGUUCCCGAACCCGUAGGGUCUACACACUUAAGGUUCGGUGACGCUAGGGUUAUUAGGAAGAUUUGUUUGUGAUUACCGAAUGUUGUUCGGAGUCCCGGGUGAGAUCCCUGACGUCACGAGGAGUUCCAGAAUGGUUCGGAGGUAAAGAUUUAUAUAUGGAAAGUUGUUGUUCGGGUUCCGGGAAAAGUUCGGUUUUUUCCGGUAUUGUACCGGGAAGCUUCCGGAAGGUUCCGGAGGAUUUCGGAGGGGUCCGGAGGUCCGGAAAAUGUUCCACCACGUCCAAUACAACAGCAUGGGCUGUAGGGGGCGCCCUAACCUUAAUUGGCCGAGGGCACCAGCCCCCCCAAGGCCCAUGCGCAUGGGAGAGGGGAAACCCUAAGGGGGAGGGCCUCCACUUGACUUGGGAGGCACUCCUCCCCCCCUUGGCCGCCGCCCCCAACCCUAGAUGAGAUCUAGGGGGGCCGGCCCCCCUCUCUCCCCAUCUAUAAAUAGUGGAAGGUUGGGAGGGCGGCCACACCCUUGAACCUGGCGCAACCCCUCCCCUCCAAUACCUCUCCUCCUCCGCGUGAGCUUGGCGAAGCCCUGCCGGAGAACUGCCACUCCAUCACCACCACACCGUCGUGCUGCUGUUGGACUCUCUUCCUCAACCUCUCCCUCCUCCUUGCUGGAUCAAGGCGUGGGAGACAUCUCCGUUCCGUACGUGUGUUGAACGCGGAGGUGCCGUCCGUUCGGCGCUAGGAUCAUCGGUGAUUUGGAUCACGACGAGUACGACUCCAUCAACCCUGUUCACUUGAACGCUUCCGCUUAGCGAUCUACAAGGGUAUGUAGAUGCACUCUCCUUCCCCUCUUUGCUAGAUUACUCCAUAGAUUGAUCUUGGUGAUGCGUAGAAAAUUUUAAAAUUCUGCUACGAUCCCCAACACGGACACGGCCUAGUUGACUCGGAUCAUGUAUCACUUAGAUGACUAGAGGGAUGUCUAUCUAAGUGGGAGUUCAUUGAAUAAUUAGAUUAGAUGAACUUAAUUAUCAUGAACAUAGUCAAAAGGUCUUUGCAAAUUAUGUCGUAGCUCACGCUUUGGUUCUACUGUUUUAGAUAUGUUCCUAGAGAAAAUUUAGUUGAGAGUUGACAGUAGCAAUUAUGCGGACUGGGUCCGUGAACUGAGGAUUGUCCUCAUUGAUGCACAGAAGGGCUAUGUCCUUAAUGCACCGCUCAGUGAGGUGAACCUCGAGCGUCGAUUGUGGAUGUUGCGAACAUCUGACAUACACGUUUUGAUGACUACCUGAUAGUUCAGUGCGUAAUGCUAAAUGGUUUAGAACUGAGGCACCAAAGACGUUUUUGAAACGUCGCAGAACAUAUGAGAUGUUCCAAAGACUGAAAUUGGAAUUUCAGACUAGUGCCCACAUCAAGAGGUAUGAGACCUCUGACAAGUUUCUUAAGCCUGCAAACUAAGGGAGAAAAACUCAAUCAUUGAGCAUGUGCUCAGAUUGUCUGAGUACUGCAAUCGCUUGAAUCGAGUGAGAGUUAAUCUUCCAGAUGAGAUAGGGAUGGUUCUCCAUAGUCACUGCCACCAAGCUAUUGGAGCUUCGUGAUGAACUAUAACAUAUCAAGGAUAGACAUGAUGAUCCUUGAGCAACUCGCGAUGUUUGACAUCGCGAAAGUAGAAAUCAAGUAGGAGCAUCAAUUGUUGAUGGUUAAACCACUAGUUUCAAGAAGGGCAAGGGAAAGAAGGGAUACUUCAUGAGACGGCAAAUCAGUUGCUGCUCUAGUGAAGAAACCCAAGGUUGAACCAAACCCGAGACUAAGUGCUUCUAUAAUGAGGGGAACGGUCACUGAAGCAGAACUACCCUAGAUACUUGGUAGAUGAGAAGGCUGGCAAGGUCGACAGAAGUAUUUUGGAUAUACGUCAUAUUAUUGUGUACUUUACUAGUACUCCUAGUAGCACCAGGGUAAUAAAUACGGUUCGGUUGCUAAGCGUUAGUAACUUGAAAUAAAAGGCUGCGGAGACUAGCUAAAGGUGAGAUGACGAUAUGUGUUGGAAGUGUUACCAAGGUUGAUGUGAUCAAACAUUGCACGCUUCCUCUACCAUCGGGAUUGGUGUUAAACCGAAAUAAUUGUUAUUUGGUGUUUGCGUUGAGCAUAGACAUGAUUGGAUUAUGUUUAUCGCAAUACGGUUAUUCAUUUAAGGAGAAUAAUGGUUACUCUGUUUAUUUGAAUAAUACCUUCAAUGGUCUUGCACCUAAAAUGAAUGGUCUAUUGAAUCCCGAUCGUAGUGAUACACAUGUUCAUGCCAAAAGAUAUAAGAUAGUAAUGAUAGUACCACAUACUUGUGGCACUGCAAUUUGAGUCAUAAUGGUAUAAAACGCAUGAAGAAGCUCCAUGUUGAUGGAUCUUUGGACUCACUUGAUUUUGAAUCACUUGAGACAUGCGAACCAUGCCUAUUGGUAUAUAUGCAUGAAGAAACUCCAUACAUAUGGAUCGUUUGGGAUCACUUGAUUUUGAAUCACUUGAGACAUGCAAAUCAUACCACAUGGGCAAGAUGACUAAAAGGCCUAAUUUUCAGUAAGAUGGAACAAGAAAGCAACUUGUUGGAAGUAAUACAUCUUGAUGGGUGCAGUCCAAUGAGUGCUGAGGCAUGUAGUGGAUAUCGUUAUGUUCUUACUUCACAGAUGAUUUGAGUAGAUGCUAAGUAUAUUUACUUGAUGAAUCACGAGUCUGAAUUAUUGAAAGGUUCAAGUAAUUUCAGGGUGAAUUUGAAAGAUCGUCGUGACAAGAGGAUAAAAUAUCUAUGAUAUGAUCAUAGAGAUGAAUAUCUGAAUUACGAGUUUGGCACACAGUUAAGACAUUGUGGAAAUUGUUUCACAACUAAUACUGCCUGGAACACCAUAGUGUGAUGGUGUGUCCGAACAUCAUAACUGCACCCUAUUGGCUAUGGUGCAUACCAUGAUGUCUCUUAUCGAAUUACCACUAUAGUUUAUGGGUUAGGCAUUAGAGACAACCGCACUCACUUUAAAUAGGGCACCACACAAUUCCGUUGAGACGACACCAUAUGAACUAUGGUUUAGAGAAACCUAAGCUGUCGUUUCUUAAAAGUUUGGGGCUGUGACGCUUAUGUGAAAAAGUUUCAGGCUGAUAAGCUCGAACCCAAAGCAGAUAAAUGCAUCUUCAUAGGACACCCAAAAUAGUUGGGUAUACCUCCUGUCUCAGAUCCAAAAGCAAUAGGGAUUGUUUUUAGAAUCGGGUCCUUUCUCAAGGAAAAGUUUCUCUUGAAAGAAUUGAGUGGGAGGAUGGUGGAGACUUGAUGAGGUUGUUGAACCGUCACUUCAACUAGUGUGUAGCAGGGCACAGGAAGUUGUUCCUGUGGCACCUAUACCAAUUGAAGUGGAAGCUUAUGAUAGUGAUCAUGAAACUUCGGAUCAAGUCACUACCAAACCUCAUAGGUCGACAAGGAUGCGUACUACUUCAGAGUGGUACGUAAUCCUGUCUUGGAAGUCAUGUUGCUAGACAAAAAUGAACCUACAAGCUAUGGAGAAGCGAUGGUGGGCCCGGAUUCUGAAAAUUGGCUCGAGGCCAUAAAAUCCGAGAGAGGAUCCAUGUAUGAAAACAAAGUGUAGACUUUGGAAGAACUACUUGAUGGUCGUAAGGCUGUUGGGUACAUAUGGAUUUUAAAAGAAAGACGGACAAUGAUGGUAAGUAUCACCAUUAAGAAAGCUCGACUUGUCAUUAAGAUGUUUUCCGACAAGUUCAAGGAGUUGACUACGAUGAGACUUUCUCACUCGCAGCGAUGCUAAGAGUCUGUUGGAAUUAUAUUAGCAAUUACUGCAUUAUUUAUGAAAUCUUGCAGAUAGGAUGUCAAAACAUCGUUCCCUCGACGUUUUUCUUGAGGAAAGGUUGUAUGUGAUAAAACCAGAAGUUUUUGACAAUCCAGAAAGAUGCUAACAAGUAUGCAAAGCUCCAGCAAUCCUUCUAAGGACUGGAGUAAGCAUCUCGGAAUUGGAAUGUACGCUUUGAUGAUAUGAUCAAAGAUUUUGGGUUUAUACAAAGUUUAUGAGAAACUUGUAUUUCCAAAGAAGUGAGUGGGAGCACUAUAGAAUUUUUGAUGAGUAUAUGUUGUUAACAUAUUGUUGAUCAGAAAUGAUGUAGAAUUUCUCGAAAGCAUGCAGGGUUAUUUGAAAAGUGUUUUUCAAUGGAAAAUCUGGAUUAAGCUACUUAAACAUUGAGCAUAAAGAUCUAUAAGGAUAGAUCAAAAACGCUUAGUAGUACUUUCAAAUGAAUACAUACCGUGACAAGAUUUUGAAGGAGUUCAAAAUAGAUCAGCAAAGUUCUUGGCUGUGUUACAAGGUAUGAGCAUUGAAUAAGACUCAAGACCUUACCACGGCAGAAGAGAGAGAAAGGACGAAGGUCGUCCCCUAUGCUUUAGACAUAGGCUCUAUAGUAAGCUAUGCUGUGUACCGCACCUGAAGUGUGCCUUGCCAUGAGUCAAUCAAGGGGUACAAGAGUGAUCUAGUAAUGGAUCACAUGAUAGCGGUCGAACUUAUCCUUAGUAACUAGUGGACUAAGGAAUUUUCUCGAUUAUGGAGGUGGGAAAAGAGUUCGUCGUAAAGGGUUACAUCGAUGCAAACUUUGACACUAAUCCGGAUGACUCUGAGUAGUAAACCGGAUUCGUAUAGUAGAACAGUUAUUUGGAAUAGCUCCAAGUAGCGCGUGGUAGCUGCAUCUACAAGAUGACAUAGAGAUUUGUAAAACACACAUGGAUCUGAAAGGUUCAGACUCAUUGACUAAUAAACCUCUCUCACAAGCAAGAUAUGAACAAACCCCAUGGGUGUUGGACUCAUUGCAAUCACAUAGUGAUGUGAACUAGAUUAUUGACCAUAGUGCAAGUGGGAGACUGUUGGAAAUAUGCCCUAGAGGCAAUAAUAAAAUGGUUAUUAUUGUAUUUCCUUGUUCAUGAUAAUUGUCUAUUGUUCAUGCUAUAAUUGUAUUAACCAGAAACCGUAAUACAUGUGUGAAUACAUAGACCACAACAUGUCCCUAGUAAGCCUCUAGUUGACUAGCUCAUUGAUCAAUAGAUGGUCAUGGUUUCCUGACUGGACAUUGGAUGUCAUUGAUAACGGGAUCACAUCAUUAGGAGAAUGAUGUGAUGGACAAGACCCAAUCCUAAGCCUAGCACAAGAUCGUGUAGUUCGUAUGCUAAAGAUUUUCUAAUGUCAAGUAUCAUUUCCUUAGACCAUGAGAUUGUGCAACUCCCGGAUACCAUAGGAAUGCUUUGGGUGUACCAAACGUCACAAGAUAACUAGGUGGCUAUAAAGGUGCACUACAGGAAUCUCUAAAAGUGUCUGUUGGGUUGGCACAAAUCGAGACUGGGAUUUGUCACUCCGUGUAAACGGAGAGGUAUCUCUGGGCCCACUCGGUAGGACAUCAUCAUAAUGUGCACAAUGUGACCAAGGAGUUGAUCACGGGAUGAUGUGUUACGGAACGAGUAAAGAGACUUGCCGGUAACGAGAUUGAACGAGGUAUUGGGAUACCGACGAUCGAAUCUCGGGCAAGUAACAUACCGAUAGACAAAGGGAAUUGUAUACGGGAUUGACUGAAUCCUUGACAUCGUGGUUCAUCCGAUGAGAUCAUCGUGGAACAUGUGGGAGCCAACAUGGGUAUCCAGAUCCCGCUGUUGGUUAUUGACCAAAGAGAUGUCUCGGUCAUGUCUGCAUUAUUCCCGAGCCCGUAGGGUCUACACACUUAAGGUUCGAUGACGCUAGGGUUAUAGGGAAAGUAUGUACGCGGUUACCGAAUGUUGUUAGGAGUCCUGGAUGAGAUCCCGGACAUCACGAGGAGUUCCGGAAUGGUCCGAAGGUGAAGAUUGAUAUAUUGGACGAAGGAUUUUGGAGUCCGAAAGUGUUCCGGAGGUACCGGGUGAUGACCAGCAUGACCGAAAGGUGUUUCGGGAGCCCCGACAAGUGUUGGGGGGCUUCAUGGGCCAAGGGAAGGGGGCAAACCAGCCCACUAAGGGGCUGUGCGCCCCCCUUACCUAUUCCCACGUGACCAGGGGGUUUGGGGCGCCCCAUCUAGGGUUCCCACCUCCUGGCUUGGGGGCCAAGUCACCCAAGGGGGAGAUCCCAUCUGCCCUGGCCGCCGCCCCCCUAGGGGAAACCCUAGGGCGCCUCCCCUUGCCCUUGCACCUAUAUAUAGUGGAGGUUUUGGGGCUGCAGAAGACACGAGUCUCUCUCUCAAAAGGCGCAGCCCUACCUCUCUCCCUCCUCGUCUCUCGUAGUGCUUGGCGAAGCCCUGCAUGAGUACCGCGCUUGAGGGAGUCCUGGAUUAGGGGGUGUCCGGAUGGCCGGACUAUACCUUCAGCCGGACUCCUGGACUAUGAAGAUACAAGAUUGAAGACUUUGUCCCGUGUCCGGAAGGGACUUUCCUUGGCGUGGAAGGCAAGCUUGGCGAUACGGAUAUAUAGAUCUCCUACCAUUGUAACCGACUUUGUGUAACCCUAACCCUGUCCGGUGUCUAUAUAAACCGGAGGGUUUUAGUCCGUAGGACAACAUACAGAACAACAAUCAUACCAUAGGCUAGCUUCUAGGGUUUAGCCUCUCCGAUCUCGUGGUAGAUCAACUCUUGUACUACCCAUAUCAUCAAUAUUAAUCAAGCAGGACGUAGGGUUUUACCUCCAUCAAGAGGGCCCGAACCUGGGUAAAACUUCGUGUCCCUUGCCUCCUGUUACCAUCCGGCCUAGACGCACAGUUAGGGACCCCCUACCCGAGAUCUGCCGGUUUUGACACCGACAUUGGUGCUUUCAUUGAGAGUUCCUCUGUGUCGUCGCCGUCAGGCUUGAUGGCUCCUACGAUCAUCAAUAGCGAUGCAGUCCAGGGUGAGACCUUCCUCCCCGGACAGAUCUUCCUCUUCGGUGGCUUCGCACUGCGGGCCAAUUCACUUGGCCAUCUGGAGCAGAUCGAAAGCUAUGCCCCUGGCCGUCAGGUCAGAUUUGGAAGUUUAAACUACACGGCUGACAUCCGUGGGGACUUGAUCCUCGACGGAUUCGAGCCACUGCCGAGCGCGCCGCACUGUCACGACGAGCAUGAUCUAGCUCUGCCGCCGAACAGUUCCCUGGAGGCCGCACCCGCAUCGGCUUCGACCCUUAAUACGGAGCCAACUGCGUUGAUCGAGGAUGGGUGGUUGGAUGCCGCCUCGGGGGCUGCGAUCCCAACGGCGAUCAAGCCGAAAACCAGCUCUGCACUCCGCGAGACUCGUGACUCCAAGGAGCCGAACUCCUCUCCGGACUCCGAACCCUUCGUGCCCCUGCCGAUCGAAUCCGAUUGGGCGCCGAUCAUGGAGUUUACUACCGCGGGCAUCUUUCAGCACUCGCCUUUUGGCGAUAUUCUGAAGACACUAAAGUCUCUCUCUUUAUCAGGAGAGCCCUGGCCGGACUACAGUCAGCAAGGUUGGGAUACGGACAAUGAAGAAAUUCAAAGCCCACCCACCACCCACUUUGUAGCCACUGUCGACGAUUUAACCGACAUGCUCGACUUCGACUCUGAAGACAUCGACGGUAUGGACGCCGAUGAAGGAGACGAUGAAGAACCAGCGCCUACUGGGCCCUGGAAAGCCACCUUGUCAUAUGACGUAUACAUGGUGGACGCACCAAAAGAUGACGACGAGGAGCGGAAGGACGCACCGAAGGCUUGUUCCCUCGAGAAGCAGUCAAAGCGACAACGCAAACGCCGCCCCAAAUCCCGCCUCGACAGAAAUAAUGAUCACAUAGACCCAGCGCUGGAGCAGGGCGAACCGCUGCCGGACAACGGCAGUCCAGAUAAUCAAACCGAACAAACAAAUUCUAUCAAGGAUAAUGGUCCGAACGAUAUAACGCCGGACAGGCACCCGAAGCAGCAGAAUGCCCGUAAAAGGCUUGUUGCCACCACGAGGAGUCUUAAAAAAACAGAAGCAAAGGCUCAAGGCUGCGCAAGACACACUCCAAAUCAGAUGGAGUAAAAUACUCAACACAACAGCGAGGUACGGCGACAAUCGCCCCUCCAAGAGCUACCCAAAGCGGAAGCUGCUACCUUAAUUCGAUGAGGAGGCCUCAGACCCCCCACAACCAAAUAUCAAAGCAGCCACCUGGCCGGAUAAACGACCCCUCUACCAACACAGAGCGGCAUACAAUGCCACUCACAAUACAACACGCGACCCAUGCAAAGCUCCAGCAACCCUUCUAAGGACUGGAGUAAGCAUCUCGGAGUUGGAAUGUACGCUUUGAUGAGAUGAUCAAAGAUUUUGGGUUUGUACAAAGUUUAUAAGAAACUUGUAUUUCCAAAGAAGUGAGUGGGAGCACUAUAGAAUUUAUGAUGAGUAUAUGUUGUUGACUAUUGUUGAUCAGAAAUGAUGUAGAGUUUCUGGAAAGCAUAUAGGGUUAUUUGAAAAGUGUUUUUCAAUGGAAAACCUGGAUUAAGCUACUUGAACAUUGAGCAUCAAAAUCUAUAAGGAUAGAUCAAAAUCGCUUAAUAGUACUUUCAAACGAACACAUACCAUGACAAAAUUUUGAAGGAGUUCAAAAAUAGAUCGACAAAGAAGGAGUUCUUGGCUGUGUUAUAAGGUAUGAGUAUUGAGUAAAACUCAAAGACCUGACCACGGCAGAAUAGAGAGAAAGGACGAAGGUCGUCCCAUAUGCUUUAGACGUAGGCUCUAAACUAUGCUAUGUUGUGUACCGCACCUGAAGUGUGCCAAGCCAUGAGUCAGUCAAGGGGUACAAGUGUGAUCUAGGAAUGGAUCACAGGACAACGGUCAAGGUUAUCCUUAGUAACUAGUAGACUACAGAAUUUUCUCGAUUAUGGAGGUGGUAAAAGAGUUCAUCGUAAAGGGUUACGCAGAUGCAAUCUUUGACACUAAUCUGGAUGAUUCUAAGUAGUAAACCGGAUUCGUAUAGUAGAACAGUUAUUUGGAAUAGCUCCAAAUAGAGCGUGGUAGCUGCAUCUACAAGAUGACAUAGAGAUUUGUAAAGCACACACGAAUCUGAAAGGUUUAGACCCGAUGACUAUAACAUCUCUCACAAGCAUAACAUGAUCAAACCCAGAACUCAUUGAGUGUUAAUCACAUGGUAAUGUGAAAUAGAUUAUUGACUCUAGUAAACUCUUUGGGUGUUAGUCACAUGGGGAUGUGACCUUGAGUGUUAAUCACAUAGCGAUGUGAACUGGAUUAUUGACUCUAGUGCAAGUGGGAGACUGUUGGAAAUAUGCCCUAGAGGCAAUAAUAAAUUAGUUAUUAUUAUAUUUCCUUGUUCAUGAUAAUCGUUUAUUAUCCAUGCUAGAAUUGUAUUGAUAGGAAACUCAGAUACAUGUGUGGAUACAUAGACAACACCAUGUCCCUAGUAAGCCUCUAGUUGACUAGCUCGUUGAUCAAUAGAUGGUUACGGUUUCCUGACCAUGGACAUUGGAUGUCGUUGAUGACGGGAUCACAUCAUUAGGAGAAUGAUGUGAUGGACAAGACCCAAUCCUAAGCCUAGCACAAGAUCGUGUAGUUCGUAUGCUAAAGCUUUUCUAAUGUCAAGUAUCAUUUCCUUAGACCCUGAGAUUGUGCAGCUCCCGGAUACCGUAGGAAUGCUUUGGGUGUACCAAACGUCACAACGUAACUGAGUGGAUAUAAAGGUGCACUGCGAGUAUCUCCGAAAGUGUCUGUUGGGUUGGCACGAAUCGAGACUGGGAUUUGUCACUCCGUGUAACGGAGAGGUAUCUCUGGGCCCACUCGGUAGGACAUCAUCAUAAUGUGCACAAUGUGACGAAGGAGUUGAUCACGGGAUGAUGUGUUACGGAACGAGUAAAGAGACUUGCCGGUAACGAGAUUGAACGAGGUAUCGGGAUACCGAUGAUCGAAUCUCGGGCAAGUAUCGUACCGAUAGACAAAGGGAAUUGUAUACGGGAUUGAUUGAAUCCUUGACAUCGUGCUUCAUCUGAUGAGAUCAUCAUGGAGCAUGUGGGAGCCAACAUGGGUAUCCAGAUCCCACUGUUGGUUAUUGAUCGGAGAGUUGUCUCAGCCAUGUCUGCGUGGCUCCCGAGCCCGUAGGGUCUACACACUUAAGGUUCGAUGACGCUAGGGUUAUAGGGAAAGUAUGUACGUGGUUACCGAAUGUUGUUCGGAGUCCCGGAUGAGAUCCCGGACGUCACGAGGAGUUCCGGAAUGGUCCGGAGGUAAAGAAUUAUAUAUGGGAAGUCCCGUUUUACUCACCAGAAAAGUUUCGGGUGCUAUCAGUAGCGUACCGGGACCACCGGGAGGGUCCCGGGGGUCCACCAGGUGGGGCCACUAGCCCCAGAAGGCUGUGUGGGCCAAGUGUGGGAGGGGACCAGCCCCAAGUGGGCUGGUGCGCCCCCCACCAAGGCCCAAGGCGCGUGGAGAGUGGGAAUGGGGCAAACCCUAGGUCCAGAUGGGCCUUAAGGCCCACCCUAGGGCGCCCCCCUCUCCUCUCCCCUUUGGCCGCCACCCUAGAUGGCAUCUAGGGCUGCCGCCACCCCUAGGGAUGGAACCCUAGAUGGGGGAGAAGCCCCUCCCCUCCCCCUAUAUAUACUUGAGGUAUUGGGGGCUGCCCAACACAUGAUUUGAUCUCCCUCUUGGCGCAGCCCGACUUCUCUCCCUCCUCGUCUCUCGUAGUGCUUGGCGAAGCCCUGCUGGAGUCCCGCGCUCCUCCACCAUCACCACGCCAUCGUGCUGCUGCUGGACGGAGUCUUCCCCAACCUCUCCCUCUCUCCUUGCUGGAUCAAGGCGUGGGAGACGUCACCAGGCUGUAUGUUUGUUGAACGCGGAGGCGCCGUUGUUCGGCGCUUAGAUCCGAAUCGACCGCGAUCUGAAUCGUUGCAUGUACGACUCCACCAACCGCGUUCUUGCAACGCUUCCGCUUAGCGAUCUACAAGGAUAUGUAGAUGCACUCCCCUUCCCCUCGUUGCUAGAUUACUCCAUAGAUUGAUCUUGGUGAUGCAUAGAAAAUUUUAAAUUUCUGCUACGAUCCCCAACAGGAAAUACUUACGCAAGCAUGUUUUCCAAGAUAGUCAAGUGGGCAUGGUAGAUUAUUUUCGAGUUUCAUCAUAGCUACAUAAGAUGGCUCAAUGUUGCAGUAAUCUCAGAGCUAAAAUAAAACAUAGCUCAAGUAUCCAUACGCCAGCAUGGCGGGGUAGGCGAAGCGGGUGAGUGCCUCACCCUAGAUGGCUAAAGUCCAGUAGCCGAAAGCAUCACUAGUUUAUGCUCUGACCCAAGUAGCAUGGGACAUGAGAUCCCAUGUGAAUGAGAAAGGACCAUCUUGCAAGGCUAAAUAAUCUUGGGUGACCGAUAGCGAAGUAGUACUGUGAGGGAAAUUAUGGCGGAAAGAACCCUAGUGGGUAGUGAAAUAGAACGUGAAACCGCGCUGAGCUCACUCACAUCCCAUUUUCAAUGUUGUCGUAAUAUCAGACCUAAAACAAAACAUAGCAAGUACCCAUAUGCUAGUGUCAUAGACUCGCAUCCCAUUUAUUUUAAAUCUUGAAAACUAUUGUUCUUAUUUUCAUUGAAUCUAAUCAUCCACUCGAAGUUUAUAUCUAUACUCCAUUUAUCAUCUUGCUAAUCCAAUUAGAAGGAUGGAUACUUGGUGAAGUAGGAUUCAAAAGGCACCUCUAAAGGAACUAUCUUUCUUUUCAGAUUCACCUAUCUUCAAUUUAGAAAUUUCACCUAUUCUCCUUACCUUUCACUGUCAUAUUCCAGGAUUAUCAGUUAUAACAUAAAAUAUAAACUCUUAAUUAUAAAAAUAUAAAAAUAAAUAAUACAACCAGAGUGCUCUUCCUAUGCUUGGCACCGCAUCUUGGCGAGCUCGUGUCGUCCAACCAGAGUGCCUUUAUCGCUGGCCGCGGGGUGCACGACAACUUUAUGCUGGCGCAGCAAACGGCCAGAUAGUUCCACAGCAGCAAGGCCCUGUGGAUUCUUCUCAAACUUGACAUAGCGUGUGCUUUCAACUCCGUGUACUAGCCCUUCCUCCUCGAGGCCCUGCGCACCUUGGUUUUGGCAAGUGUUGGCAAGCAUGGGUAUCAAAUCUUCUGUCCACCUCCUCCACUCGCAUGCUCAUAAAUGGCAAUGCUAGACCUCCCAUGGAUCACGUGCGUGGCCUACGCUAGGGUGCCCUCUCUCGCCCUUGCUAUUUGUCCUCGUCAUCGACACACUCAACUCCAUGGUGCAACACGUAGUUCGGUGUGGUGUGCUACAGAGGCUCACGACAAGACCUGCUGCUUCCAGCAUCAUGCUUUUCGCGGAUGACGUUUUGAUUUUUUGCCACCCAUCUGAGUCUGGACUGUUGGUGGUGUGUGCGAUUCUACAAUGCUUCGAUGCGGCCUCUGGCAUGGCCACCAACUUAAAAAAGAUAUGUCACUCCAAUCCGCUGCACACCCGAGGAUUAUGCGUGCGCGAGAACCAUUCAGUCUUGCCUUGUCGUUCCAUUCUCGAUCUCCUACCUCAGCUUGCCUCUUUCGGUGAGGAAAGUUCCAGUCUCGACACUGAUGUUGUUUGUUGAGAGAAUGUCCAAGUGCCCUGCCACUUGGCAGGCUUCUCUUCUUUCCCGAGGUGAACGGCUUGCCCUUGUGUGACACGUUCUGUCCACCAUGCCCGUCCAUAUUUUGUUGUCCAUGACACUCUAACCGUCCAUUCUGAAGCUUGUGAUGUGGAUCAUUAGAGAUUUCCUUUGGCACAAACGGCGUGAGGCCAGGGCGGGGAACUGCCUCGUCAGCUGGGCCAAAAUCUGCCAAUCGUUGGAACUUGGAGGUUUGGGUGUGCGUGAUCUCCAGCGCAUAGGCAUCGCCCUUCGCGUGCGCAGGCUCUGGCUGCGAGCAAUUGAUCCAUCGAGGCCGUGGAACCAUCUUCCUCUCCCUACCACGACACGCAGGACAUCUUCAGGGUUUCCACUUCCCGGACUUUGGGGGACGACAAGACUUCUAUGUUCUGGCUUGACCAUUGGAUCGAUGGCCAUUCCAUUCGUGAGAUUGCUCCCACCCUAUUUUCCCUUAUGCCUCGUCAACACCUCAACCAUCGCCUAGUCUGUGAUGACCUCAAGUUGCGCUCUUGGAUCUAGGACAUCCAUGGCACUCUCAGCGUGGUGGCCACUAUCAAGUACAUCUCUUUCUCACAACACCUACACCAUGUCAACCUGUUGUCCGAGCCAGACUGCUAGCUAUGGUGUUGGACUGACAACAUGGUAUAUUCCGCAAGCUCUUGCUACAUGGCCAUGUUACAGGUAUCUAUCCCCGACCCGCACUAGCACCUAACCUGGAAGGGUUCGGCCCCGACAAGCGUCAAGUUCUUCCUAUGGCUUGUGCACCUUAAUAGAUGCUGGACUGCAGAUGAUCUCAGAAAUCUUGGCCUUCCGUACCCUUCUAGUUGCAUGCUUUGUGAUCAAGAGGCUGAAAUGAUCCACCAUCUCCUUGUGGGUUGUGUCUUCUCUAGGCAAGUUUGGUACCAUGUGAUUUCAUUGUGCCGCUUCACUGCCAUGCCACCGGAUGGGACAACAACACUCUUCUAUUGGUGAGCUGCGGCGUCGGCAUCCUGCCCUCCCAGUUUGCGCAAAGGAUUUGACUCCAUUGUCCCUCUCUGUGUGUGGAUGAUUUGGUAACAUCGGAGCAAGCAGGCAUCUAUCCCCGGCCUAGUGACAUCCAUCCAGGGUGAAGCACGGGCAUGGACUAAUGCAGGAACCAAAGGGCUACGUUUGAUUUUCGAGCAACCCUGUCUACUCCUUGGGUUUGCUUCCACACCAUCUUGUGUACGCGGCUUGGCAACCCCCUAACUCUGUUCUUUGUUUCCCUCUAUCAAUGCAUUGAUACGCUCCACCCGUAUUGGCGAAAAAAUAGUGUACUUAGCAACCAUGUUUCAGAAAUAAUUAAAUCGGACAUAUACUCUGUUUGGUAUAGUGAAACAUUUUUCAUCGUGCGCCCUUUCAUUACUCCCCCCCUCUUUAUAUUUUUCAGAAUCCUCCCUGCCACCGUGAAAAAACAUGGUUGAGUAACCUCGACUCAACAACCCAUGUCAGAUUCUUUCAGUUGGUGUGUAAACACAAAAAUCUUUCGGUACUUUGGCAUAUGAUCUGGCCAGAAUAGACAUCAUAUUUUGUUGGAUUAAAUUGCAGCAAAGUCGCCUAUUUCAAUAUUCAAUCUGGUCAUUUUGGUUUCAUUCUGAAUGGGAUUCAACCAAAAUUUGAAUUUUGUUUGAGACUAAAAGUCAUCGCCUUUUUCACCGGAACAUAAAGUUCAUUGUAAUUGGGUGAAAUCUCGGUGAAGAAUGUCGAGCCUUCGAAAUUAUUAGCCUCAAGUUCAUGAGAGCAUUAUAAUUCACAAGUAGCGUACUUGGCAACCGUGUCCGAGACCUCGGUUCAUGAGUUUAAUCGGAUCAAACGAACUAAGCACAGAUUCAUUCACGAAUGAUAUGAUUCAGCACUUAGAAACGAAGUCCAACACAAACUUCACAUGUCCAAGACUAAGAUAGUUGCCAAGAACAGCACACGUUUGGAAUUGUGGACAUGGCAAACAUGCAUGCAUGCAUGUGCCAAGGACCUGCCAAACAGCAAAGGAUCAAGAAGCGUUAAUGUCGUGGGCGCUCAGGCUCAGCCGAAGAGCAUCUGGGCGUGCGGGGUGAGGUCCUUGUGCACCUCCUUGAUGGUGCCCUCGGCGACGCCGGUGGCGACGGACACUUCCUUGACGGACCUGCCGGCGCCGGCGCGCUGCACGACCAUGAAGCUGAUGGCGGCGGCGACCGACUCCGGGUUGCGGCGCACGUCGAGCCCUUGCUCGACCCUCCGCACGGCCUCCUGUGCGUCGCGCACCUCCUGGUUGCCCAGGCCGAGCCGGGAGCAGAAGCGGCGCAGGUAGUCAGUGGCGCUGACGACGCCGAUGUCCAUCACCUGGCCGUCCUCCUCCCCGAGGAGCUUCUUGAUGUGCGUCGUCAUCUUGCCGACGUCCUUCUUGGCGGCCACGCCCCCGGCGGUGACGGACGCGAGCUCCUUGUACGUGCGCGGCAUGCCGAGGUUGCGGCAGGCGAUGUAGAGGCAGGCGGCGUAGACGGAGUCCCGCUUCCGGCCGCGCGGGCAGCCCUUGGCCUCGUCCAGCUUCUUGAACGUCUCCUUGGCCAGGUCCCGGAUGGUGGCCACGAGGCCGAGCCGGUCGGCCAUGUCGGGGAUGCCGCGGAAGCCGUCGACGAGGGUGUUUUCGGAGGCCACCCCCGCGUCCGGCACCGACAUCCUCGGCGGAGCCUUUGUCGCCACGCCGGUGGCGGAGGACUUCCUGGUCUUGUUGGUGUAGUCGAUGACGGUGGAGAGCUUGGUGUUGAGGAAGGGGUCGCCAGAGGUGCCGACGCGGCUGGGGUCGCGGUCGUCGCCGCCGCCGUCGUCGGCGAAGUUGCGCCACUCGGAACCCUCGUCGAUGUAGUGCGCGUCGAGGACGAGCGCGCACUCGGUGCAGAUGGUGUCGCCGGUGCCGUGGUCCAGGACAACCUCCGUCGCGGGGCGGCACUCCGGGCAGUACACGCGCUCGUCCGCCGCGGAGCAGGUGCUGGUGUACAUGGCUGCUGCUGCUGCCGCCGCCGCCGUGUGCGCAGUUUUGGUAUUGGUUGUGGCGACGGGUUGGGGAAAAGGGUCUGAAGGUUAGAUUGGGGGCUUUGGGCUGAUAUUUAUGGACGCAUAGGUCGGUUAGUUCGACUCGGUUUUGCACGGCGGUGAUUCUUUUGCGAGAAGUUUUUACAAUCAUUGUCCUCCUCGUACCCAUUGUCCGACACCACCCACAGUCGGUUUCGGCUCCACAAAAUUUGUAAACACAAGUCCACAGUCGGCUUCGGUCGAGAGAUUUUCCUUUUUUCUAAACAAAGAACGAGGGCUCUCACUCGAUCCUUCUCCAGCGCCGCCGCCGCCGAAGCACUUCCGUCGCCGCCGGACCAAAUCAAAGCUUCGCAUCGUCCCCUCCACCGGACCGCGCUUGCAGUAUCUUCGGUCGCCGCUGAAGCACUUCCGUCGCCGCCGUGAGAUUUUUCUGCGGAAUCGAUCAUCCCAGCUGACCCGUCCUAUCCAAUUGACACGCAGGGGCUUGUAUUUUUGGUGGCAGCAAAUCGAUCUUGGGGACAAAGAUGGCAAGCAACAAGAGGAGGAAGGCUGUGGCCGCGUCGCUCAUGCCGCCGUUAGCCGAGUCGCUGCUGCCGCCGGAUGAGCUGAUGACGGAUGUGUUCCUGUAGCUGCCCGUCAAAUCCCUCCUCCGCUUCCGGACCGUCUGCCGCUCCUGGGCCGCGCUGCUCUCCUCCGACGAGUUCUGCGGCCUCCACAGGGCCAAGGUCGAGGCCGAGGCAGCACCGUCACCCAAGCUGCUAUUCAUCUCGCCGGCCGCGAGCUUCGACUCCACGGGGAUUUACUCGUGCUCGCCAUCAGGCAACGGUCUCCUGCUCACUCUCAACGACGUGCGUGGUGACCAUGUGGACAUGACGCCUGCGCCGUGCCACGGCCUCACCCUCUUGCAUGACGCCGUUGAGCCAGCCUACUAUGUUUUCAACGCGACCACACGGGCCGUCACCCGGCUGCCGCCUUGCCAAGACUCCUUCAUGGCCAUUGCUUGUCUCGGAUUCGAUUCCAGGAGGAGGGACUACAAGGUAGUGAGGUUGUUUUUCGAGAAACACUUCGGGGUUGAUAAUAUCAAGUGCGAGGUGUACGCCCUUGGUGGCGAGCACGGGGAUCGCUGGAUGCCGGCUGCCGGUGGUGUGCCCUUUAGGUUCUGCAAGUUUGCCGCUGAUGCGAUAAUCGCAACACGGAGUGAAGCUAAGCUGAUGCCGGUGUUCGCAGACGGAUUUCUGCACUGGGUUGUCGACUCGCCUCUUUUCCUCGCAAAGCCAAGAGCUGCCGUCUUAUCGUUCUCUCUCGCAGAUGAGACCUUUAGAUGGUUCAGGUCACCAAUCUUCGAGGUCCCAGGAGUGCACCUGGUGGAGCUUGAUGGCCACUUGUGUAUGGUCCGGGACCUCCGUCCCGAUACUAGUAUUAUGGAGAUUUGGGAAAUGCAGGACUGCAACUCUGGUGAUUGGACGUUGGCACAUCGUAUUGAUUUGUUACAACAUGUUCAAAGAGGUUUGACGGAGCCGCAAAUUAUUAGAGUCAUUGGGUCUGUUGGCAACUGUGGAUCAAGGAACAAGGUAAUCUUGGCUACAUCCAAACGCAAGGUGAUCACCU